RNAcentral lists this long non-coding RNA (57732 nucleotides) under Malus domestica (apple). Its description in RNAcentral is "long non-coding RNA (MDOM_LNC005288)". Lineage: Eukaryota; Viridiplantae; Streptophyta; Magnoliopsida; Rosales; Rosaceae. The record is from RNAcentral.
UGCAAAGUGCAACGUUACAGUGUAAGGUCCAUUCUCAAGACCCAGGCCAUAGUAUCUCAGUGAUCCUGGGGACAAUCUUGAAGUCUGGAAAAGCUCCGGGGUCACAUCUGUUCCGGUGACUUGCUCAAGGGUAUUUUCCAGAAACGAUCGGUUCACUCCGUCAGAAAACAUACCGACAUUGCUGACAGCCCAAUUCUCUAUACUGGUUACAUUGAAUGUUGCUGGACCAAGAGCUGAGUCUUCGGCCUCAUACGAUAUGCCAUCACGUCCCUUCAUUUCCGGUCCACCACAGUUGAUUGAGAAGUUUGCAUCUGUAAGUUUCAUGUAUUACCAGAAUCUACCCAUGAUUAGCGAUGAAACUUCAAAUUGAAGACUCAUACUAAUGUUUUUCAGUCACAUAUUUCUGACCAGUUAUGCUUAUUUCUGAACUUAUGAAAACAUGCUGGCAAUCUAUAUCCAUAUGUAUACAUAACUAGAGAAGCAAUGCCUUCUCUAACAUGACGUUGAGUUAAAACAGUAAAUGUUGGGUGACAUAAAAGCAGAUUACAUCGUGGGGCAUUUCGAUUGCAUGGAAAAUUUCUCUGGAGGCAAUUCAAUCCAGGAAGAGUACUGCAAACACAGAGAACAAUUAUUAGUUAUCCAGAUAGAAGCAUAUAGUGGAAGAGUAGUGAUAGUAUUGCUUGUCUAAAAACCGGCAACAGAAACUUCAACUCACGUUUUGUUUUUUUCGUCAAAUGUGAAGUUGUUGACCACUAAGUUCCUGCAUAAAAUCAUUAAUCAAUCAACAUGUGAAGAAAUAUCUCUGUCAAAUGAAAAUUCCAUGUACAAGAUCAAAACUUAAUAGGCAAGUAGCACUAUGAGAACGAAUCACAGUGAUAUUUUUUGUCCGAACAUAUUCUAGGGAUUUAAAUUGUAAAAUGAAGGUGAAAGAUAAAAGGAGACGUACAGUUGCGAUAUUGUGAUCACCCACUGGGAAAGCUUCCUGAUAAAAAAAUUGUAAGACAAAUCUCUGCUAAUAACAAAAUAGAAUCAGAAGACACAAAAUGCAUGAAAGUUAUAAGAACUUCAACUUGUGUAAGAUAAAGGAUUAGAAUGCUUACAAAAUGCACAAACACAUACAUGCACGUGCACACACAGGUACAAAGUACUGGUUUCAGUGUCAAUAGACUCUGUACAUUCUAUAUGACUACUUUUAAGAAACGAGGACUUACAUAGUCUGAAGUCGAUCGCUCUUUUGGCUCGGAAGAGGUCCGGACAGACUAUUAUUUCCAAGAAACCUGGCCAUUUCGAUUAUAGUAGAAGGCACCCAGAAAAGAAAAAGAGAUGAGCAAGAAAAAGGUCAGAUGUGCAUAAAAUCUAUAAGGAUUAGUCCAGAUCUUCAAUCAAAGUAGGGAAUGUUAAGAUUUGAUAACUUAUGUAUGAUGAGGCAAGCAAAAUAUAAUAAUAAGAACGGGGAUUACAAGGAUGUAAGAGAACUCAUGGUGAACAAAGAACUUGGGAGUUGGCCUGUCAAAUUGUUGAAACUCAGAUCCCUGCAACACCAACGAUAAGUUGAGAGAAGCAAUCAGAACGAAAGAAAACUAAUUGGCCUCGUUGGGACUCAAGCUUAUAUGCACUAGUACGUACAGUAUCUGUAGACUUUGAUAUUCUCCAAUAUCAGAUGGGAUGGUACCAGUGAUUAAUGCGUUUCGUAGUUUUCUGUUCACAUCAAAUUUGAUAAAAAGUAGAUGGAGUAAGAUAUCAAAAGGAAAAAGGACAACGUUGGAUGAAAGUAUAUGGAUCGACAAGAAUUCUUCACUUACAAUUCAGUCAAGUUCUUCAUAUUUUUAAUGAAAUCAAGAGAGGAGCUCCCAUCGUAUAUAUCAUUGAUAUGCCUACAUCAUUAUAUGCAAAAUAACUGAAAUCCCGUCUUCGGAGAAAGGGAAAGAAUUACAAUUUAUGAAGCAUUUGUACUUACAGAGAUUUCAAUGAGGUCAGUUGAGAAAAGCUGGUUGGUAUUGGGCCUUCCAAAGAGUUCCCUUGAAAUCGCCUACAGAAACAUAUAAGAAGCUUGUGAACAAGUUAUCCAUCUCAGGUCUGCUUUCAUAAACUGCAUAAGAUCAAAAUUUUUUGUGCUUACAAAGAAAUGAGUUGUGUCCAAUUCCCUAUGAAAUCAGGAAUCUUUCCUGAGAAAAGACUGUCUGAUGUCCAACUAAAAUUCACAAAGUUAACUUAUAAUAAGCUCAUCCAAGAAAAGCAAUCUCAAAGUACUAGAUAAACGAACAAAUCUAAAAUACGAUUUAAGAGCCGUUCUUACAAGAUUUGCAUACUGGUUAGCUUGGCAAAUGUUGAAGGAAUUUCACCACUGACUCCACAGCUGUCCAUGUAACUGUGAAAAUCAUAAGGCAACUGAUUAAUACCCAUCUUAUACGAUAAUGUGCAAUUUUUGCUUAUGCGUAAGGAACUACAUGUAAUUCAAAUUUGAUGAUUUAACGAACCACUUACAUUUGCUGGAGCUUGACUAAAUUACCAAGUUCUGGAGGGAGUGUUCCGGAGAAAUUAUUUGAUCCGAAGCCCCUGCAAAUCAUGUUGAACAGGCAAACAAUUACUUGAAAGCAAUUAUUGAAGAGUGACAGAAGGUUCUGUAUCUAAUGUUUACGACACAAAAUGUUACUGUACGCUUUCUCAUUUUUCAUGGCUUACAGUAUACUUAGCUCCUUAAGGUUUCCAAGCUCCUUGGGGAUGGGCCCAGAGAAUGAAUUGUGGCCAAUUUGCCUGAAUGGAGAUAUCAGUUAACUAAAGAUAAGCACCAUUACAGUACGUUACAUUAAGAAACUAGUACUGCAUUAUUCAACAAAAACAUAAUGGUUUGUAUAGAUUACGGUGCAAAUUAUAGAGAAAAGGUGUAAAGAACAUAACUGUAGAUUAUGAUAUUCAAAAUGAAGUACACAAAUUGCGACUAGUCUCAUCAGAAGUAUGAUACUUAAAACAAAUUUUCUCUCACUACUUACAAUUCAAUCAAUGCAGACAUAUUGCCAACGAAUGCCGGUAGGGAACCUUUGAAAUAAUUCUUAUCGAUUUUCCUACAAAAAUUGAAACGAAAUGUAAUCAUUAACUCUUAAUCUUACGACAUCACCAUAUUUUUAAUUUCCAAUUGAUAAGUUUGAUGAACCAAAAACAGAGAAGGGAGUUGGAAAAAAUUCAUACAAAACUGCGAGAUAUCUUAGAGCCAAAAGUUCUUCGUGAAACACCCCUCGUUUGUACAGAGCUUGCACUUUCCUGGAAAGCAAAAAGAUUGACCAUUUAGAACUUUAUAAAAUGGAGUGGCACAGUCAAAUUAUUGACUAAUAGAUAUAGGUAUAGCUAGCGAAAAAUCAGCAUUGGCAGAGAAAUCUUGUUCAUAAAGAGAGAGUAGUUUAACAUACAGUUUGGUGAUGUGGCAUGUAGCAUUGUUGUCGUAAGAACAGUUGCAAACGAUGGCUGGGUUGAUAUUGGGGCUAUCAAUGUCGGUGCCGUCGAUGGCAGAUCCACUGCAGGGUUUUCCGCUGAUAUUCCACAGCCCCGACAUUGCUUGUGUGUCCCAUUGUUCAAAUAUUAAGUUCAACGCCCUCACUGCACCCUCAGUUAAUUCAGUCCUUGUGUGUAUUAUAUUAUAUCACACCAUGAUUCGACUUGUGUUACCACUUACCAGACUAUCUCGAAUCAAAUGAGAGAUCAAACUGAUUAUAACAAAGGAAAAUUACCCUUAAAUUGGAAGUUUUGUAUAUGGGAAGAAAAAUGGUUUUGCAAAUAACUUCCUCAGAAACUUCAUUUCAUAUAGUCGAAAAACACUUAAAUGUCAUUUUGUUGAGGGAAAACAGCUCAGUUCAUGGUCAAAAACACUUAUAUGUGGCAAAUUGUGUAUGUGUGUAGGGAGGGAGAGAUACAGAGAGACAAAGAGACAGAGAGAGAGAACCUUCAGAUGGGUCAGUGGUAGCAUUUUGAACAAAGGACAGCUGAAAACACAAGCAGCUGAGGAAGCAUAGUAAUAGUAUCCUCAUCAUCAACUUCAUCUUCAUAUUGUAAAUGUGCAGAACUUGCUCUCCUCGACGGCGUGAAACUAAACGGCCAACCCUUAUAUUCCGACUGGCUGAAUCUUGCAUGUAAAAAGAAGACCAUAAGAUUUUAGUCAUAUAUUGACAACGUGUGCGUAUAUACUUAAAUUUUGUCCAAGUUGUAGAUCAAAUGGCGGCCAACACCUUUUAAAUUUCCCACUUGGAGUUGGCUAAGGCUUUGAUCGUAGUAGUUGGAUUGUAUAUUGUCGUAUUAGACAUUGAGCUGCUUUAGUGUGGAGAUAUUUAUGUACAAUUCUAUAUUGUUAAUACUUUUCUGGUUGAAAAUAUCAAGGGAUUGACUUACGGAUCAAUAUUCUGACUCGUCCACUACUAAUAAUGGAGAGGGAUUUUUAUUUGAUAUGACAUCUAACGAGGAUGUCAUCAUGACAAUAUCUUAAACUAAUCACAUUAUUAUGUAUGACAAAAUUGAAUUGUAACUUUGGUCUAAAAUGGGCGGCUCUAAGCAAACAAGGAUUCCUGCCUUGGAAGGAUGGGAAAAGAACGUCCAUUAUAAGUAAAAAGAUCGUUUUCACGACUCGAACUUGUAACCUUUCGGUCACAAAGAAGCAAAUUUUGCAUUGCGCCAAAGAUCGCCCUGAAUUGUAGCUUUAGUCAAUAAUCUAAAAAUUCAUUAUAGCUAUACAUGUAUUCGACAAAAUAUGAAACACUGGUUAUUGACGCUAAUUCUAUGAGAAUUUUUAUUAAAAGGAGCAUACAUGCAAUUCUCUAAUUUACUCUUCUUAAAGGUAUUCCUCGGAAUUUUGGCCAAAAUUCUUAGCGCGAUAGACUAAUGCUUAACAUUGGUCAAACUUAAAUACUAUCUCUAAUAGAUCUUUAAUUUGCAAACUAAAACUACAAUCAAGUCAUAAUUCACAAAUUAGUCUAGUACAUUAAUUAUACUGUUCAUAUCAAAGACUCAUACUCAUCCUCGCAAUCGUAUCAAUAAGUUCAUCUCUCUUAGCAUAAAAUAAAAUUGACAGGUUUUAUCAACCAGUUAUACGCAUUGGUUGGGAAAGGCAAGGGAGACACAUAUACUGCCUAAGUGGAAUCCGGAUCCUGACAGAGAUUUAUAAAUCGUGUUCGUUUAACGUACUUCAUGUGAUCAAAAAUUAUUUUUUAUUUUUUAUUUAAAAUAAAAUGCAAACAGCAUUUGACACAAUUUAACCGUAUAACGUACGAUUAACAUACAUAAUUCACAGCUUUUCAAGUACCUCACAAAAAAGAGAAUCCAAAGAAUCAUGUUAGGCCUAAGUGGCCUUUGGUGUAUGACACGUAGGUUGCACAUGCAACGCGAUCAACUUGCGGAUCAACUUGCGGGAGUUGACGAGUCUUCCAAAAAGUUCAAUAAGUAUUUUUUUGGUAAAAAAAAAGUUCAAUAAGUUUAAUCAUGGAUAAGACAUUAUAUAAGGGAUUAAUCUCAGUUUAUUAUUAUAAAGUUUCAUAAUUUUUAAUAUUUGAUAUAUAAAUUUUUUUUAUCCUAAAAUCAUAGCUCACGUCUGUUAAACUGAUUGUUAAGUCAACUUUUAAUUGGUAACAUGACACACAUAUCAACAAUACGUUACGCAUCAUUAAAGGUCCACGUGAAUAUUAAAAAAAAUUAAAAACUAAAAAAUUAAAAAACUUAAGAAAAUAAAAAAAAAUUGAGCGAUGAUGCAGCCUGCUGCUAUCCUUCUUUCUCUUCUCUCCCUCAAAUCUCAUAUCCCCAGCAACCCUUGCCCUCGCGACCUCGUAACCGUCGCCCUUCAUCUCGCUGCCACUAGCAAUGGGUGGGCGGAGAUCGAUUCGGCCACCAACGGAGGAAUUGAAAGGGAAAAUAAAGCGUGCCCGAUGAUAAGCCUAUCGAUCCGAUUUGCUCCGAAGAAUUAGAAUUCUUUGUCCAUGGAGUUUGCCCAUUUUAUUUUUUCCAAAUCCAAUUUCCAUCGUGCGUUUUCCUUUGCCCUUAAAAAAAAAUGCAGAAAUUUGGGAACGAAGGUGAAGGCAGAGAAAUCCCGCUCAUCUCUUCACUCCAAGGCCAAAUCCCACUCAUUGGAUUUUCAUCUCUUCUACCUUAAUCCAAGCCGCGGUGGAGCUGGGCAAAGCCGAAGGCAUGCCAGACUCACCAGUCCAGAUCCCAACCAUUUCUUUUCUGCCUGAACCACCCAGCCAACCCCGAACCACCAGGACCCGCACUCGACCCGUCGCAAGCUCGCGCCUGCCUGACCACCCGCUGCAACCCGCCAGAACCACAAAAUUGCAUCCCCGUCGCACCCAGAUCGGCAGAAGAACUAAUUGCAGAAGAGUGAAAAAGGGACGGGGGAGAGGAAGCAACUAUCCCCACCUUUUUCUAUUUUUUUUUAUUUUUUUAAUGUUUCUUAAAUUUAUUAAUUUUUUAAGUUUUUUAAAUUUUAGUUUUUUUUUGUAAUUUUCACGUGGAUCUUUAAUGAUGCGUGUGACGUUCAAUCAUUAUUCACAUGAACAUAAUGUUACCAGUUAACAGAUGACAUAACAGACAACUUAACGAAUAUAUAAGACUAUCUGAAAAUUAAGACUUGAUGUAUGACUUUGAAAUAAAAAAAAUAUUUAUGUACCAAAUAUUGAAAAUUACGAAAUUUUAAGUUAAUAAACUGAGAUUAAUCUUUAUAUAAAAUAUGCAAAUAAUUAUUAGAUAUUGGCAAACCACAGUAAUUUUAUUUAUUUAUUUUUUUAAGCAAGCAAAUGGACUGGGAAAUAUACUGCUUUCGAAUGCAUCUGUUGAUCACAGUUAAGGAUGAACUUUAACAUUUCGAAAGAGAGAGCCAGCUAGCUAGCAGUUGAUCUCCUGUAUUUUAUAGGUGUAUAUCAUAUGGAGAGACAGGGAGAGAGAGAGAGAGAGAGCCGACCUGCUGUUGAAGCAGGAGGAGGAGCUGAAGCAGAAGCAAUAAAAAAACUGGAAGGAAGAGAUCAGAGAUGGCGGCUGCUUCGCCCACUAGUUCUGAAAUUCAUCCCCUCUCUCUCUCCUCUCUCUUUUUCCUAAUAAGAGCCAAUGAGAAUGAAAAGGAUAAUUCCCACCAUGGCACCGUGGGAGUAGUGUACAUAUAUGGACCUGGAUUGUUUGUCUUUCUAUCCUUUUCUAUUUCUGUGAUCACAUGUUAACAUUUUAUAUUAAAUUUUUUAUAGAAAUAAUAAAUCACGUCAAUAUUUUAUAUUAAUUUUUUUUUAUAGAAAUAAUAAGACAAAAAAAAUGAAAAUAUAAAAUGUUAACAUGUCUUAAUGGUGAUCACAGAAAUAGGAGAGAAUAAGAAUAAUAUGGAAUGAGGAGGGCAAACAAUCAAGGUCCCAUAUAUAUAUAAUGGCAUAAUCAAGGUUCUAAAAAACGUUAGGCACUAGUCAGGUUGUGGGAUGGUGCCUAGCGCCUAGGUUGCUAGGUAAGCGGCCUAGGCGGAUUUAGGUAAAUUUCUUAUAUUUUAUAUAAAUUAAUUAAACUUACUAUAUUAGGUGUAAAUAAUUAUUGAAUAAUAUGUUAUUUCUUAUAGAAGAACAUACACAUGUGAAUGUUUUAUGUACAUAUAUAAUAUGCUUGCCUAGGAAAAAAAACAAAAUAUUAUCUAAAUUAACAUUUAUAUACAUAUAAUAUAGAUAUACACCCCAAACUUUUAAAAUAUAAAAACCCACACAAGUAGGUGGUUUUCAUGAUAAAACCAUCUUACCCUUUAUAAUAUAUAACUUUUAAAAAUAUCAAAAGCUCACGCAAGUGAGGUGGUUUUCAUGAUUACAACUAGACUUGUAAACGGAUAACGUGUUAGAGAUUUUAAUAAUAAAGAUAUAAAUUAUUAUUAUAUAUAUAUAUAUAUAUAUAUAUAUAUAUAUAUAUUGGUGCAGUGCACCAGCAAUGUUUGACAGAUGAUGGGAUUGGAUCAUUGACCCAACAAUCACACCCUUUGUUAAUAAACGCUGCACCUUUCUGUGUUUUGGCGAAAAGGUGUGAUGUAACCGAAUGCAUUUUUGCAUCAGACAAACAUUGUUGCAAUGUUCAGUUGUAUCUCAUGAUGAGAGGAUACACCCAAAACCAAAGGAUAUGUCUAAAGGUGCAAUUCUCUCUAUAUAUAUUGGUAAUAUUAGUAGAAAAGAUUCAUUAAUUCAGAAAUUAGUUAUCUACAUAAUUUCUUUGUUCUCUUUUCUCUCAUCAUCACAUUCAUACAAUUUCUUUCUAGUUAUUUCUAAGGGAAUAUAAUUCGGUUUUGCUAAUCGAAUAUUUCAUACUUUGUUGUAUCCUGGAAGUGAUUUGCCAAGAACCCUUUAGCAAACUCAUUCGAGUGGGGGCAAAUAACACUUUAAGGAAACGAUUCAAGUCGUACCUCAAAGUCAUUAUUCGGAUUAUUCUCCAUAUUUCUAUAUUUAAUCUAACAUAACGGGUCAUCCGAACCCAACCCGUUAAGCUUAACAGGUCACCCGAAUCCAACUCAUUAAACUAAUGAAUCACCUGUUUUAACCCGUUUCACCCGUUAACUACCAUUGAAUUGAAAACCAAAGAUGUCUUUUUUGGAAGUGGAGACCGCAAAGCGAUGAAUCCAAGACGAUGUGAUUGUCUUGCACAUGCCACCAUUGAAUUUGAAUCCUCUCUUCCUCCUUCUCCAUACCUACAAAAAUAAAUUCAGAAAUUAAAUAUAAAAAAAUAAAAACAAAAACUGGCAUCUUCCCAAAUGAAACCCGAAGUGAAAAAUCGAAAUUUUAACAGUUGAAGGAAGCUUACAAUGAGACGUUUCCAUGUAAAUUACAUAACUUUGAGUCUCAUAUCCAACUUGCACCACCACAAAUAUUUGACUUCUCUUCUAGCAAACAGAGAGGUAGACGGCGAGACUCGGGAAGACAAGAAGGUUGUGAGUCUUGCGACUGAAGUUUCUUUUCCAGGCUGCCCAGACCGCACAAUGUCCGUCGAGCCCGCCUAGCCCACCCAGGCGGCUGUCUUACAUCGCUUAAUGUCCUUGCCGAUUUAGUGAACGAUUUCUAGUUAAUUGUGGUGGAGCACCGCCGCCUAGAGCCUAGGUGGCCGCCUAGACCGCGUUUUAGAACACUGGGCAUAAUUGGUCGUCGAUGUCAGUCUGUCUAUUCUCCAAACUAGCAAUUUGUUUAUUCUUAAAAUGCAAACGACGCUUUUCUAUAAGGGCGAAAAGUUUGUUUAUGUAUUUUGACGUGAGUAAUGUUAAAGAAAUUAAAUUUAGAGGAAUAAUUUAUAAAUUAAAUGAUGUGUCAUCAAUACGAAUAAGCAUUUUUAUCAAUGCUUAAGUAAUAAACCAAUCAUAAAUUUCUAUGUCCUUUAAUUUCUAAAACAUACCUACAAAUUUAGUCUUGCUAACAUUAUUCUUUUGAUGUUGGUUUGAUUUCCACUGAUUUCUUUCUUUCAACAAUUAACAAUUUUAUCUACUUAGGCUUUGCCUAAUGUCCGCACAAUUUUACAACUUUCAACAUGCAUUUGCUUUGGGCUGGAUGAUUUUUCUUGACCAAACCAGGAUUAUAAUUCAACAUUAGCAUGAAUGAUUCACACCAUUACAUAUAUAGUCUUACGAGUUAAUGCACAUCGACUUAGGCUUUGCCUAAUGUCCACACAAUUUUACAACUUUCAAUAUGCAUUCGCUUUGGGCUGGACCACUUCUCUUGACCAAACCAAGAUUAUAAUUCAACAUUAGCAUACAUGGUUCACACCGUUUACAUAUAUAAUCUUACGUGUUAUUCUUGUCAAUUCUAAAAAUAACUUUUUGAAUUUUUCUCAACGACAAGAUAUUUGAUAAUGUGGAUGGCAUUAAAUUAUCUCGUAAUCAAAAGAUAACGAGUCAAUGGACAAAGUUGAGGAAUUGGGAGGUGGGCUCGUUUAAGAAAGAAAUCAAAAUUUAACUUUAAAAUGUCCAGUUUGUGAACAACUUGUAAUUUAUGAAAAAAAUUGUUAAAAUGAAGGAUCCUUUGAAUUAAUAUAAUAUUUUCAGUCGUCAUUUCGUUUCGAACUUUAGUUUGCAAAGGUAUAUACUUACAACAUGAUUUUUGUAAUUAUGUUUAGUCAUAAAGGGUUUGGUACACAAACAACAAAUGGUUGCCACAAUUCUAUAGAGGACACAAAUUUAGGCUAUUUUUUUCACUUCCAUAUUCAAUAUGUGCAUAAUGUUUGGUGUGAAGGACAUUUUGUACUUGUCUGUAAGGAACUAUGAAAAUGAAUAUUUCAAUUUACCAUAUACAAUUUUAAUCUCUUCCCAAGUGGUGGAUUGCCCUAGUAUAUAGGGUCUUUCUUUCAUUUCACUACAUCCCGAAUUCAAACCUCAUACUUUCUUUCAAGAGUAUUUUAGUUCUUUUUAUAGUUUACUGUAAAAAUAUCGUUUUUAUUCUUUUUUAUAGCCUUUUUCAUUUUAAAAAGUAUCUAAAUACUUGAGUAACCUGCACGCGUAGAUAGGUAGAUAGAUAAGAUAACGUUACGUAUAUGAAGAUACGUGCGAGAAUACACUGAUUGAGGAAAAACCUAGUUGUAUCCAAGAGACAUACAUGCAAGACUAGCUCAACUUAAACCGAAAAUAACUAGUCAAAACAUAAAACUAAGCUAGUUGGCCUCAUCACGUCUAACUAUUGGACCUACGACUUGUAAUUGUAUGAUGCUAGUCCUUUGAGGUCAGUAGAUCACCGCAAUGUGCCUUUUUUUGUACAUCCAAGUUUUAAUCCGUCUCUAUCAAGUCAAGGAAAAUUUAGGUAUGCUAAAUCAAAGUAAAUUUAAGUAUUUUUCACCAAAAAAGAGAAAGUAAGUAUAGGUAUUUGAAUUGAAUUUCUCCAAAUCAAGUAAAUCUUAAUAAAUGCCCCUUCUGUUUAGAGGAUUUCUCGCGUUGGAGCUGGAGCCCAAGUAGGAAAUUCCUGGUGCCCAAGCCUAGUUUCCACCUCUCUAACAAGCUUAAAAAUGAGUAAACAUGAUAUAAGUACGUACUAUAUACAUAUAUAUAUAUAUAUAUUAGCAUAUAUAUGAAUUUAGUAAACAUGAUAUAAGUACGUACUAUAUACAUAUAUAUAUAUAUAUAUAUUAGCAUAUAUAUGAAUUUAUAAAUGUAUGGAAGAUAAAAAAAAAAAUUUGAAUUAUUUUUAUAAAUGAUAGGUAGAUUACAUUUUGUAGAAAAUUUUAUUAUGUUUCGGUGCAUAAUAUUUGCUAGACAAUAGAUGAUUAGGAUCGUUGUUUUUUUUAUUUGGUCAAAAGUCUGAAGAAAUCGACGGUGUAAGAAUUGGUGCAUAUAAUCGAAAAUCCUAAUCAUAUAUAUAUAUUUUAUGAGGAAACCUAAUCAUAUGAAUAUAUUGUUCGACAAAAAAAAAAUAAUAUGAAUAUAUUGAGGAAACCUAACCCUUGCCUACAAUCUCGUGCCAAUUUCCGCUCCUUUGGACAUAUCCUAGACCUUCCCUGCAUUCUCUCGCAGGUUCUACGGGGCGAAGCUCACUUGAAAUUUACUGGGAGGACGAGGGAGGAGCCGGAUUCAAACGGAAUGGUGAAGGUAAAGGAAAAGGACGCCAAGUCAAAGGCAAGCGAAUUGUUGUUGAGGAGGAAGGAUGGGCAAAUACUUAUUGGUUAUGGAUAACCGCGGUUAUCCGUCCAUUUCAAUUAAACGGUUACGGUUAUGGGUAACCGUUUAGAUAAAUAAACGGUUAUGGGUAAAACCGUUUACCCGCCAAAUUUAAAUGGGCGGUUAUGGGUAUUAACCACGGUUAUAAACGGGUAACCAUUUACCCAUUUAUUUUAUAUAUGUAAAACUAACACAAACCAUGUUCUCGAUCCAAUAAUACUUAGCACCCAAUAAAUUAGCAAGGAAUUCAUCGGUCCUUCUCUCAAUAACACUACUACAGGAAUGAUGAUUCUCAUCAUCAAGGAAUUGGCCAAAUUAAUUUAAAUUCUUUGCGGAUAACCGUGAAAUUGACAGAAAUGUCUUUUAAACAAUUUUUGUAACCCAAUAAUACUUAGCAAAUAUUAUAUUUACCUUCAUUGGUAACAGUUAAAAAUAUCGUCCGUAAACUAUUAUUUCAAUUAUUGGAAUUGUAUAAGGACUUAAAAAUUAAAAUAUGGAAAUGUAUGAUGAAUCUACCUAUAACGGUGUUUAAUUGUCAAAAAAAAAUUAUGACAAUUUUUUUUUUAAUUUUCAAGUUGUUAAAAAACAUGUAGACGGGUAGAAAAAGGGUAAUGGUAAAAAAAAAAGAUAAACGGGUUAAAAAUGAUAAAUGGGUAAACGGGUAUUAAACGGUUACGGUUAAAUGGGUAUGCGGUUAUGGGUAUGGGUAUAACAGUUUAGGCAAUUACCCAACGGGUAAACGGUUAUGCGGAUAUGAGCAUAAACGGUUAUGGGUAAAUUAACCGCGGUUAUCCGUUCGCAUAACCAUUGCCCAUCCCUCGGAGGAAGGGGAUCCACACAGCCAACAAGGCGACUCAGAGAUAAGAGCGCGACGCUGAUUGCCGCUUCUUGCACGACUGUGUUUCAGAUAUUUUCGCCCAGUGCCUCAAGUCUGAUAUUGAAAAAUUUCAUCAUCACAAGGAUCAUGACCAUGACCAUCAUGAUGAUUACUACUUGGAGAUUACCCAAGCGGCUACCUCUUUGCCUACCACCGCUGAUCAUCAUAUGAUGUUCAAAAACAUUGCAAGGAAGGUUUUCCCGCCAGAAUCAUGCCGCCGAGAAGGGGAUGGUAGUGUUUGUUAUAUUGACCGACUGAGGAAGGAGGUUUUGUCGCCCUUGAGAAAAACUUGUUGGAAAUUAUAUAUUAUAAUAUGAAAUAUUGUAAUAUAUAAUUUUAAUAAUUGAAUGAAAAAUAGUGUUAACCAAUUUCUUAGAAAUGUUAUGUUGUUUAACUGAUAUUCCCUUGAUAAGUGAUGUCUAUUUAUAGAUGAAAAGUUACAUCUCUUUAAUAAGUAGAAGUUGGAUUCUAUAUAAACCCAUGAAAUCAUUGGUAUUAUAUAUAGAAAAUUAGAGUUAAUUUUUACUCUUGAGAAAUAGGGUUUCCCCAAUUUUUUUCUCUCAUGCUUCGUGUCUCAAAUUCCGAGUCGUGUCUUGAGAGUACGGAAUAUAUAAAGUUCGCCAGAGUCCGAAGAUUGAAGUGCUUUGACUUCGAAUUAUAGAUUGUUGAAUCUUGGAAGAUUGACGCCUACCGAACUACAAGCACAAUAGUAGGGACGAAAUUCUAUCUUUAGAACAUUGCAUUUAUGUAAGCCUCAAUCUCCAAGUUUGUCAGUUAUUCUAACUUUCACUCUAGUUGUUUAUAUUAAUCUCAUAUAUAAUUGAUGUUAUGAAUUUCUUUAUGAUUAUUAUCAUUGGAAUUAUAUUCCUAUUUUUCAUAUUUUCUAAUAUUGCUCCAACAAAAAUAUGACGCCAGAGGGCUGGGAACCUGCCAACCGGUGGGGUUAUAGAGCGGAGUACAAGCGAAAGCAACUAGCUGCAGCAAAUGAGAUUGAUCCUGGAGAUGCCGCGCUGCUUCCGCAUGACAUAUUAAGCUAUGUCAUGUAUCCCGAGCUCGAGCAAGAUGCUGAUGUUAAGUGGAAGAAAAUGGUGAAGGUCUACUUAAAGCAGGGGAAGCUGAAGAAUUGGUUGGCUGUGUGUGAUGUCGACAACUCCUUGUCGGCGGGUUUGGCUUUGGGGCUUUUGUUGCCUCAAUUGAGUGACGAGCUAUGAAGCAUGGAUACGGAUACGGAUACGGCGAUACGAUACGACACGACACGGCGAUACGGAAAAUCUCUAAAAAUUAAGAUACGAUACGCUAUGGAUACGGCAAAUAAAAAUCUAUAUAGCAACAAAAAUAUACAUUUUAAAACAUAAUUCAUCAUUCAAAUUCAAGUACAUUUUGAGUUGUUAGAGAAGGAAAGUUCAAAAUCUAAUCCUCUUUAUACAGUAGAAGAAGUGUGAGAAUCGUAUUCAUGGUUUUAAUUAGAGGGAAGCUCUUUGUAUUUAGCAACUUUCAAUUAUAGAUGUCUCCUAUUAAUUUUCUCCUCCUCAUUACCUUUUUUUGAAAGUGUAAAUGUAUUUUAAAAGCAGGAUACGUGUAUCCUGAAUGUAGGAUACGCAUAUCCAUUAUGUCAAAUUCGUGUCCAUCAACCAGGAUACGUGUCGGACGAGUAUCCGAGAGUAUCGGGCAAGUAUCGUAUCCGAUCAAGUAUCGGAUACGGGAUACGGGACCAAACAGAAGUAUCCGUGCAUCAUAGGUGACGAGCCAGUAAAAAGAUACUUACAAGCUUUUCAUUUAAUUUCUUCAAAGCAUCAAAGUCGAUUUUUGAACUCAGCCUCUGCAAGAAAAAAGAAUGCCAUGUAAAUAAUUGUUGGAUAAGAUAUAAGUUGCAUCAUGCUGGAGGAAUAAUACUUAAACGAAGUAUAUCCAUCAGCUAAUUCCCUUACCUCCUUGUUAUUUAUCACAGUAGAAACUUUGGCGGUUUUUUCUGCAGGUGGAGCUUUCUUGGCUUUUCUGGCUCGUUUUCUGCUCUUUCUCUGCCAAAAUUAUCCAUUGUAUGUAGAAAAUUAGAAAUCGAUAAGUAAGGCUCAAUGCUGGCAGUAAAACAAAGACAGAUAAACAAAAGGGAAAAACUAAAUAAUAAAUCAAAUGCAGAUAAGAUUAAAAAAUAUUAAAAAUGGAUACUUUAGAUGCGGUCCUUAAUCUUUAACAUUCUUUGACUAAAACCUUAAUGGUAUUCAAAGUUUGAUCAAAGUACCUUGACUUUGUACACCUCAUUAUAUUACAAUUAAUAUUUAUAUUUUUAUAGUUUUGACAUUAAUUGUUUGAUAUUUUAUGAGAUUUAUAAUCCUAUAAAUUUAAAAUCCCUCAUUAUAAUACUAUUAUAAACAGUUAUAAUAAAAAAAAUUCAAACAUUUUGAUUGAAUAAAUAGAUAAAACUAUGUAUAAAUAAUAAAUGGCAAAAGAAUGUAUCCAUAGUGUUAAAAAAAUUGGUACAUUUCACAUAUAACAAAGUGGUACAUUAAUAAAGAAGAAUGGGUACAUUAUAAAUAAAUUAGGGUACAUAUAAAAGAUUAAAAAAUUAUGAGUACAAAUGACUUUUUAAAAAAUAUAGGCGCUAAAAUAAAUUAAUACACGGGUACAAAAUAAAACUAAAAAGAAAAUACUACAAAUUUAAAAAAAAUGUUGCAAAUUAAAAGUGGGUACAACCUAAAAAUAUAAAUAUAUAAUACAAAGUUUAGGCAUAAAACAUAAAUAUACCAUAUGUAAUUUUUCUAUCAUUGAUUAAAUAUACAAUGUCACGUGACGGUAUACACAUAGGUACAAACACAAAUAAAAUUUUUAAAAAUAUGGGCACAAAAAGAAACUAAUAUAGGGUACAAAUUAAAAAUGAAAAAAUUUUUGUACAAAUUAAAAAUAGGCACAAACUAAAAAUAAAAAUAUAUGAUAAAAAAUUUAGCCAUAAAUAUAAAUAUACUAAUUGUAACAUUUUUAACACUAAAGGAAUAUAUUUAAAAAUAAAAAUAUUUUAUUAUUCAAAUAAUUAAUAAUGUUAUUAAUACCCAAUGACCUUGAUCAAAAAUUGAAAAUGAAUAAGAUUUUAAUCAAUAGAGUAACAAAAAGAAGGAUGUGAACCUAAUUUCUCCUAUUAAAAAUGUUAACCAUCACCCAAAUACUAAUUUGUAAGCAGGUGUGACACCAAUAACAGUUGAGAAUUUAGGCACAAAAUGGUGAAUAAGCUGAAUGAAUCUUCCAAGCAUACACUUUAGAGAACAAUGCACGCAUGACAGUUUGGAAACAUGCAAGGAUAAACUCAAAUAAAGUAAAUAUUGGGAUGAACCACGAGAAAUUUUUCUAAGUACCUGUCACACAAGCUGACUAGGAGUCCCUUACUAAUAAGCAACUGACACCUAUCCUUCUACUUCUCAAGUGACACUAAAAUACCCAUUUUACCCUUAUAUACAUUUCACAAAAUAAUUAAAUAAUUAAAAAAAAUUGAAGUUGUGGGGUGAGCUCCAACGCUUUCCUGCAAAUCGAAAGUACCCAUUUUUCCAUCGCCCAUCCCCAUAUCCCAUCCCUUUAUCCCUCCACGGCUUCACCAGUCCACCCAUCCUGCCCUUCCGCAUCACCUCUCUCCCUAUCUCUUUCUUUCUCUCUCUCUUCCCCUUUGUAUUUCUUCUAUUUCCUGCUCCAGAAUAAGAACAAAAAAAAUGUCGGCGAACUCCGGCUGAUAGAUCGAGAUUGGCGACAACAGAUCUGAGUUGGAGUCGCCGCCGACAAUCUCUGGGUUCCAUGUAGAGUUAAGAGCGGAAGAGAGAAGGGAAAGGAAAGAAAGAGAAGGUCGAACAGAGAGAAGGAUGAUGAUGCCAGAAAAAUCACCGACCGGUGAUGGAGGUGGGUGCGAGUGGUUCGGCGUCGUCAUGCUCGGGGGCCCCUGAUGUCAUUUUGACUUUAUUUUAAAAUAAUUGUCAAUUUUUAAAUAUAAAAGAAUAAAAUAUACAGAUGUCAAAUGCUUAUUAGUAGAAUUCCAGGUCAGCAUAUGUGACAGGUACCUGGAAAAAUUUCUCAUAAACCACAUAGCUAAGCUAGCCAUACUGAAGGGUAAGGCUAUUCCGUGAUACAAUGAAUAAAUUCAAGGUUUUGGUUAGAAGGUCCUACUUUGAAAGGAAUGAUUUUACUGCAACGAAAUGCAUAAAAAGUGCAAGCAAGACACCAGUUCCAAGAAAUGUGCUCUAUCAUAACUGAAAUUGCCUAUUUAAUGGGGCUUAAGGAUUCAAAAUUUGUUGUUUUACGUGCUUAGGAUCUUAAAAGAAGUAUUCUUCGUAGAUUAGCCAUAGUUUUAAAGAUUAGGACUAAAAACAAGUUAAAUGUCUGGAAGACAAAGGGAUUGUUGCAAAUUUCAGUUAGCAGCAUGCUUUUUGAAUUUGGGGGCUAAAAGUUUGAGAAACCAGAAAGAAAAAAAAAGGUCAAAGAUUAGGGCUUUUGAAUCAAGCACGAAAAGAGGGAGAGCACAAAAGUUCUAGAAAGAGAGAAUUGAGUUAAGAACUUCCAAAAAAUCAUUGAGCUAAAGAGUAAAGGAAGAAUGAAGAGGCAAAGAGUGGAAGGAAGAAAACCAGAAACCCAUACAAGGAAAAUGUAUACCAGUACGGUCAUGAUCAAGUGCAAAAUCCCCUCAAUCGUUCACUCUGAACAGUCAUGGCCAUAGAAAAAAAAAGACGAAAAAUAAGAACAAAACCAUCGAAUAAACAGAAACUACGAAAUUGCCUAACAUUGCACCAAAUCCUUGUGAAAACAAAUGUCAAAAUAUAAACUUGCAAAGGCAUUACCUGAUCGUAGUUCUUGUUAAGUACUUCCCAAAUUAAUCUUUUAAACCGUGCCGCCUCCUUGCUGUUAAGGUAUCCAGCAACCUAAAAAAUAGAAGCAUGAGUUCUUCCAUAUCGAAAUUCACAAACGAAAAAUAGAAGCAACAAUCACAUACGAAUCCAAAUCACUAUACGGCCUACCGAGUAGGCUAUGAUGGAAGUGUUCUCUGAUGGAGAGGUGGGUGUAUCCUUCAGGAUCUCUGCUUUUAUCUUUCAUUAAAUCCCCCCCCCCCUAAUUAUCAGACACGGAAAAUGUGGUCGACUGUCAUGAACCAAGAACGGAACUUUUCACAAUAACUAUGACAUAAAAGUCCAACAACGUAGCAUGCAAAAUUAAUUCUUAUUAUCAUCGAAUAUUUUGGGCACCAACCUUAAAUUUAUCAACUUAUGGAGAAUGGGCGGGCAGACACCAUUCCACGAAAACAAUUCAGAAAAUUGAAAAAAAAAUAAUAAGAAAGCAAUGCCUGCUUUAUCUGCAUACCUCGGAGUCGUCGAUAUCUGAGAGGCUUUCUGAGACAUCGCCAUCCGCAGUUGACAUUGCAGCUUCCCUCCUUCUUUUGUAAACUCUCGGAUCUUUUGAAUUUUAUGUAAUUUUAGGUCUUGGGUUUUCCAGUUUUCAUGGAACUAGAAUUUAUAUAGACAGUAAUGUCGGCGACCAAACAAGAACCGACCUAGUUCGGUUUCCCUUUUAGAACUGGAAUGGUGGAACCCAACCAUGCUGUUCUCAAAUCAAAUCAAAUCAAAUCAAGUUUUGGUUCUUAUUUUUUGAGUGGUGUAUGUUAGAUGUUAGAUUUGGAUCUAGUUUCUUUUUUUUACUGUUUAUUUUAAUGAAAAAAAAGGUAAUCACAGAAUAACAGUCCAAAAUCUACAGUGCUAGGCCCAAAAUAGUAUGGAAAAUAAACCAGGAAACUAGAAAAGCUCAGCUCAAUCUGAAAACCAUGUGGAUUUUUUUGGUAAACAAACCAUGUGGUAAACACAAACGGCAUGCAUUACAUUUACAUUGUAGAAACACAUUAUUAUUCCUAUUGUUGGAACCAAAUUCGAGCACAACCGUUGAUAUACGAAUAAUCAUUGGAAUCUCUUGAAUACCGAUAAAUAAGAGAAUUGUUUGAGGGAUAUAACCAAAUUCGAAAAUGAUUGCCUACAUAUUUCCUCGUCAAAGAGGGAGAAUCAAAUCGUGUAUAGUCCAUGCAUGAGUUGCAUGAGCAUGUAGAGAUGUAUUUGAGCAUUUAUGCUUUAGAUGAGAUAACAGAUAUGCGUUAUAUCUCUUUGGAUGGAAUCCUAGUAGCUUCGAUAUUUAGAGAUGAGAUCCUUCAACUCUUUGUCUUGCUUUGCAUGAAUGCUUAUGCACAUGUAAAGCAACAUAUCAAAGCCAAUAUUCUCAUGCUAUAAUCAUGCAAAUGUAAGGUGUAAAACAAUAAUUCAUUUAGCAAUCCAAACACACAAAGCGUCAUUCACGUCAAAUAAAAUGAUAAGAGUAAGAAUUAAAGUUAAGUAGGUAAAAGAUUAUCUUACCAUCAUAUUGUUCUCCUUAAAAUUUCAUUAUUUCAAUUUUAGCUCUUUCGUAUAUUUCUCCUUCCAUGUUCUUUAUUUUUAGUGUGGAUCAGAUUCAAAACCCUUUUACCCACACCUACUCACAUUUUUUUCCCCAUUAACCGACUCCCUCUCACCUUUCUUUUCAACUCUCUCCCAACCUUCCAAAACCUCUUUAUGUUCCUUCUUUUAUUCCAGUUCUUUCCCUUCCGGUAGGCUAUUCUCAUUAGGGAUGGGCAACGGUUAUUUACUCAUAACCGUUUAUACUUAUACCCGCAUAACCGUUUACCCGUUGGGUAAUUACCUAAACGAUUAUACCCAUACCCAUAACCGUUUAUAAACGGUUAAUCGUACCCAUAACCAUAUACCCAUUUAACCGUAAUCAUUUAAUACCCGUUUACCCAUUUAUCAUUUUUAACCCGUUUAUCUUUUUUUUUUUUGGUCUUUUGAUAUGAGUCCAAUUUUAUAAGCCUAUUUUGAAUGGAAUCCACUUGUAUUACAUAAGCAUAAGUGGGGGCUAGUAAGUACAACAAUAAUCCAUGUCAGCAAUUAAAAUGCACAUAAUUUACCAACAAAAUUACAACAACUGCCAUUAGAUGGUUUAUUAGGUGUCUUGCAGGUUAAACUCAUUGUUUAUUCAAAAGAUCCCAUUUAUUAGUACUCUUGCAGAUCAAACGUCCCCUUUAUCCUUAUCCUCCUAUCUUUCAAAUUUGUUUGCGUCCGUAUCCAGCGGAAACCGGGUUUUGAAUCCUAAAUCCGUAUGAAGCUAUGAAAGCUAUAAAUUUUCUCCCAGUAUAUGAUGGAAACAAAAUAGGCGAUUAUCUGGUUCGGGUUUCCUAUUAUACCUGGAGAACAGGUAGUGUAUCUUCUCGGAAGAUUUCAGCUUCGUACAUCGUAAUCUGGUUUUUUUUUUCGAAUAUUUUGAUUUGGUGAUUUGGGCUUUGUUUUUUGCAGUGUUCGUUACCUGGAUAACAGGUAUUACACUCCAUCGAUUUCAAUAUCAGUAUUUGAUAACAGGUGCUACCGUAUCUUUGCUCUAAAUUUCUUUUCUUUUCUUUUUUCACUUCAAUUGUUCGAGAUUUUAGAGUUUGACGACGAGUAUGAAUUGGUGGCCAGUGUUUACGACGCAUUAGUGAAGGCUUGCACUAGUUUGAAAUCGAUUAGGGGGGUUAAGAGGGUUUAUAAUUACAUAUUAGUAAUGGGUUUGAGUUGGAUCAGAAUACAAAAAACAGGGUGCUGCUUAUGCAUGUGAAAUGUGGGAUGAUGAUUGGUUGAAUUUGUUUCUCUAGUAUUUUGGUAUGCUGCUUUGACUUUUUACUUUUGUGGUGUUUGAUACCUAGAUUACAGGUACUAUAGUUCAUACCCUUUUUUUUUUUUGUUAAACAGUUAUGACUGUGGAGCUACUGUGAUGUAUAUUGCACAAAAAAAAGCUGAUGGAGAAUUAGUCGAAGGUGUCUCUUCGGCAGAGGCAAUGAAGAAUAUGAGAGCACAUGUCCUUUGUAGAUUCAUAAAUGAGGGAGAUGGUAGCUGGGAAAAGGAAGAGUAGGAUAAAGAUGUUAUGCGAAAUUUGAGUUUUUGUUUCAUAUAAGUGUUUCAAUUUAAUAAAUGAUGGGACUCCAAUCCAUCCGAAUUCAUUUUCUGCUAUAUAAGUUUGGAUGUUAUGUGAACUGAGAUAUGCUUUGUCAUAUCUGUUUUUUAAUUUCAAUUUCCAGUGAAAGGGGAUAUUCUUCAUAUUUUCCUUUAUUGAUUUCACAAUAAGAUUUGUUUGUAAUCUCAGAUAAUGUUAUUUUGUCAUUAUCUGGACAUACUUCGUCUGGUGUCAUUUCAAAUUGUACAAGGAUAGGUACUUUCAAAGUGUUGAUAAAACAUGGUUGUCAGUAAUUUUCCUACAUGUUAGGUAGUUUAAAACCGUUUGAAAAAGUAAUGUACCUGUACAACUAAUUGUGUCUUGAAAAAUAAUAUUCUACAAGGAUAGGUAGUUUAAAACCGUUUGAAAAAGUAAUGUACCUGUACAACUAAUUGUUAUCAAGAAAUCAGGAAGAAAGAUGAACUGAAUAAUGAAUUUGAAUUCUGAUAAAAAUUUAAAACGUGGGAAAUAUAUGGAGAACGUGCAAAAGUCAUAGGAGGGUAAAAUAGUAAUAAUAAUGCAAAAAAAUCAACUUAAUCAGAAAAAUUGCUGACAUGGAAUCCUAGUCAUUGGAGCUAAGUCAAAAGUAACUAAAAAUUGGACUAAUUCUAAUGUUGGGCUAUAAAAUUGGACUGAUUUCAAGUUUCCCCUUUUUUUUUACUAUUACUCCUUUUUCAUCCAUCUACAUAUUUUUUAACAACUUGAAAAUUAAAAAAAAAUUGUCAUAAUUUUUUUUUUUUGACAAUUAAACACCGUUAUAGGUACAUUCAUCAUACAUUUCCAUAUUUUAAUUUUUUAAGUCCUUAUACCAUUCCAAUAAUUAAAAUAAUAGUUUAUGGACGAUAUUUUUAACUGUUACCAAGGAAGGUAAAUAUAAUAUUUGCUAAGUAUUAUUGGGUUACAAAAAUUGGUUAGAAGAUAUUUAUGUCAAAGUAUUUCUGUCAAUUUCACGGUUACCCGCAAGGAAUUUAAAUUAAUUUGGCAAAUUCCUUGAUGAUGAGAAUCAUCAUUCCUGUAGCAGUGCUAUUGAGAGAAUGACCGAUGAAUUCCUUACUAAUUUAUUGGGUGCUAAGUAUUAUUAGAUCUAAAACAUGGUUUGUGUUAGUUUUACAUAUAUAAAAUAAAUGGGUAAACGGUUAUCCGUUUAUAACCGCGGUUAAUACCCAUAACCGCCCAUUUAAAUUUCGCGGGCCAUAACCGUUUAUUUAUCUAAACGGUUACCUAUAACCAUAACCGUUUAAUUUAAAUGGACGGGUAACCGCGAUUACCCAUAAUCAAUGGGUAUUUGCCCAUAUGUAAUUCUCACACCUUCACUUCCCACAAACACCCCCUUCUUUCUCUUAUCACAGAAUCACAGAUGACAAAUUACAAAACAACACUCUUCUCUCUCUCUCUCUCUCUCUCUCUCAGUUGUUUUCAUUUUUAUUCACUUGUUGCUCACACUCUUUUCUUUUCUUUUCCUUGCCUCUCACAACUCCCUCGACACCUCUCUCUCUUUCCUUCUUUUAUGCUUUUCUUCAACCCCUUAUCUUCUAUAAUAUAGCUGAAAAUUUGCAUUUGUAACAGGAGUAGAAUUGGUUAGCAACAUAAAAUGGAGAUGUAGGCCAAAGAGGCUGGCUGAGAAGGCCAGCUCAACCGUAUAUAAGCUGCUCAAACUGAUGUAUAGGCCAACAUACAGAUUAGGUUGUCGAGAUGUUUGGAUAUUUUAUAGAAGAGAUGAUAAGGAACAAUUUUUGUGAAAGAAGUGUUUUUGUUUGAUCACAGUAAAUUGGAUUUUUAAGCUCCAAACAUGACUCUAAGGUUUUCUGCAGAUUUUCAAGGCUGUCAUGGUAUUUUGAUAAUCUGGAAUGAAUGGACAGUUAGAUCUUUCUGAGACUUUGAUAUGUUAAGAUAGAGAGAAUAAGGAACAAUUUCUAUGAAGAAAGUAUUUUUGAUAUGAGCAAGAGAAAAUGUAGUUUCGAAGCUCACAACAGGCCUGACUGGUUGAUUGAUGAGUGCUGAGCAGUCACUGAUUAUACCUGAGUUUCUGCAGUUAUACAGCUCCUAUGGAUCUCAUAUUUGGAUAUGUUGUAUAUAACGAGUUAACAAACAACUUUCUUGAAGACGGCUUUUUGAUUUGAACUAUAGAAAAUGGUAAUUUGAUCUGCAAAACAGAUAUGACGAAUUUCUGGUUCUUGAAAUUCUUUCUCUUGAUAACUAGAAGAAGAGAGAUUUGUUGGUUAAGCUCUUAUGCAUUUUCUGGGAUUUGUAUGUGAUUUCUUUCUCAGGAUUCUCGUUGAAAAAUAGAGGGAUAUUUGGUGGUGCUUCACGGAGUUGGAUAAUGGUGUUUCACUAGAACUUGAUAACACAUUCACAUAAACACACAGUAUUGGAGUGGUUCGGCAAAGUGACUACAUACAUUGGGGUUUGCUUUCAUUUGUAUUUCACUAUAUAUGAGAGACUUACAAAUACAAUGAAAGAUGACUUAAAGCGUUUACAUAAGGUAAAAGAAAUGGAUGAUGAAAUAGGAAUGGUCUGAGAAAGAGAACAUUCUUUUUGCUAGUGUGUUCUUGCUGGUGUGGUGUUCUCCCUUUUUUUCCUCAUGUCCUUCUUCUAGUUCUUGCCCCUUCCUUUAUAGGGAUCAUAUGAGAUCUUCCUUCUCACAACAUGUACAAUCUAACUUGAGGAUAAAAGCUCCCUAGUGUCCCAAUAGAAAGACACCAAGUAUUGUGCACAUUAUUAGCCAUAAUAUGUGUUCGAAUAGCAAGACAAUUGUGUUAAACUAAUCAUUAAUAAUGAUAUGUGUUCCAAUAACAAAACAACAUGUGUUGAGCUAAUCAUGAACAAAAAAAUAUCAUGUAAGAUGGAUGCAUGUCUAAGGCCACUUACGUUAAAGUUUAUCUUAUGGUAAACUUGUUGUAACAAAACAUAUGGUAACUCUACAAAUUGGUAGGAUAUCCAGAUGAAUCGAUGAUGGUGAAUUAAAAGCUCCAAAACCCAUUGUUAUAAUCACACCUCAAACUAAAACCAAAAGAGUAGCAAAGUAUUUAGUUGCUAGUGGGACGCAAAUGAGAAAUACAAAGCCUAACAAAUCAAUCUACAAAUAAAGUGAAACAUAUAUGUAUUUGUUAACUAUUGAAAAAAAAGAACUUGGUAAAUCAAACUUUAGCGCAAAACACAAAUUAAAAGUACUUUGACACUUAUAUAUAUAUAUAUAUAUAUAUAUAUAUCCACUUUUUAAAAUACAGAGUAUUACACUUGUUUAAGUCCUUUCACGAUCUAGCUUAACAUACACGACAUUGUUCUCCUUUUAACUCCAAACAUGAACUUUCCCUUCCUAAAAACUUAGGCUUCAAAUCAUUUCAAUUGUUGCCUAAUUUUUUAGGGAGGAAAACUCAUAUUUGGAUCCAAAAGUAGAAAAUGUUAUGGAUGUUAGACCUGAAUCGUGAAAAGAUCGUAACUCUAUAACAAAUAUACUUUUGAUUUUGAAUUUGUUUUUGUAUUGCAUAUGGUUCAAUAUUAUUAAGUUUCCACCCAGGUGUCCCAGCUUCGGAAUUCUCCCCUUAUAAGUUAUUUAAAAAAAGGUAACAAAUUGAAAUUUGAAUAAAAGUUAAGGUGACAAAUAAAAAAUUUGCCUUUUCUUCUCUAUUCUGCAACUAGACCAUCAACAUCAAGGCUCAAUUUAUAGGAUUUGGAUCCUCUUUUGAGCAAAGGAGACGGAGCCUCCUAACCCAAAUACACAGACCGUUAGAUUUUGAUCAAACGACUACAAUUAUUUUAACUUUUAGAAAGGCCUCCUAUUUGUAACCGUUUGAUCAAAAUUCAACAGUCCGUGUCUUUAGGUCAUGAGGAUUCGUCUCCCUUACUCAGGAGAGGAUCCAAAUCCCAAUUUAUAGACCCAAAAAGGCCUUAUUAAAUUAUUUGAAUUCCCUGAACACAUUCUUAAAUUUUAGUGGUGGGAUCUUCAUCCAGUGGUGGUGGUUCAUGAACAUAUCUAUUAACCUUUUGUAUGAAUAAGUAGAAUAUACAUCCAUCUGCUAAGAUAUAUUCAAAUCUGGCAUGCCAGUCCCCUGCCCACUACCAAAAGCCAGAGCUAAAGUAUAAUUAUAAUUAAUUAUUAAAAUGUGUUAUAUAAAAGGAAAGGGUCCAAAACAAGUACAAGGGUGCACAAAGGGAUAAAAGGAGCAUGCAGAAAUCAUUUCCUAAUAUUUAUCACCUUCCUUUUCCUCUAAUGCCAGCGAGCAGUGAUUGAGUGACGUUUACAGGAGAAGAUGCAGGGUCAAUCCAGGAAGUGUUAGCACCACUUGCAUUGCUGCCUCCUGGCUGAUAGUUGAGGCGAACAUUACUAUCCCUGGAUGCAGUUGAUGGGGUAUCAUCCUCCACCAAAAAUCUACCUGUUGGCAAUGUUGUUACAUCUUUAAAAUCAUAAUCUGUCAAAUAGCUUGGCUUCAACAUGAUAGUGCCUAUGUCAAUGUCUCCAGAGAGCAUUGCAACCACGCGUGACAUAGAUGGCCUUGCCAUCGGUGAUCCCUGCGUGCACAGGAGAGCUGCUCUUAUCAAUCUAGUUGCUUCAGUUUCAUCAAACUCUGUCAAUCUUGGAUCCACCAGCCCCAGAGUUUGGUCAUUUUCAUGUAGAGUCCAUACCUGAAAAACAUUAUGCCACGGUCAAAGGAAAGUAUUAAGUUUUUCACAACACUUCCAAAAUGAAGCUAGGGGGAUGCAAUUCCUACCCAUUCAAGAAGAUAAAUCUUUUUUGGAUCCAAGUUAUUGUAAGAGUUUGGUCUCCCGCUAAGGAUCUCCAAAACAACGACUCCAAAACCAACACAUCGGCCUUCUCUGUCAAAUGUCCAAACAAUGCAUACUCCGGUGCCAAAUAGCCUCUGCAAUGCAAGAUAAUAAAAUGGUUGCACAAUGUUGCUUGAGAUCAUUAGAGGCAUUAUUAACAUGUGUUCAAAUUUCAUGCAAGUAUAAAUGUGUGUGGCCAUAAUAUAUGUAUCCUCUAGAAAAACAAUAAAGGAUGGCUAACAUUGUCCCUGCAACCCGGGUGCUGAUGUGGGUUUUCUCGUCAUCAUAAAGCUUUGCCAGUCCAAAAUCUGAUAUUUUUUGGGAGAGUUCUGCAUCGAGCAAAAUAUUACUCGCUUUGACAUCGCGAUGUACAAUCCUUGGCCUUGACUCCUCAUGAAGGUAAGCAAGUCCUCUUGCUGUUCCCAACAAUAUAUUGAAUCGAGUCGGCCAGUCAAGGUGCAAGUUACUUGUUCCUGAAAUAUUAGUGAACACAUCCAAUCAAAAACAUUUCUUAACAAUUUUAGAGUGCUUGAAACUGCAGACAAUGUUGUUUCUAUGCAACCUAAAAGUAGAUAGGUUUGUACCAAAAAGUGCUUGAUCAAGGCUCUUGUUUUCAAGAUACUCAUAAACCAAAAUGCGUUGGCUGCCUUCAAUGCAGCAUCCAUACAAUUUCACUAGAUUCCGAUGUUGCACAGCAGAUAUGGUAGAAAUUUCUGAUACAAAUUGACUCUUCCCUUGGUGAGAUGCUACUGAAAGUUGCUUCACAGCCACUACUCUCCCAUCAGAAAGUGUACCCUAUAAUGUACACAGAAACACAAUUUAGUGACAUGAAAGGAAAGAAAAAAGAAGCUUUAUUUUCUUCUCUCGCUCGCUUUCCCUUUCUCGUCAUUACUUCAAGUACAUGAUACUGAUGUAAUACGGAUUUCACCUUGUAAACAGGGCCAUAUCCUCCUUCUCCUAACUUAUUUGAAGGAUUAAAAUCUUCGGUUGCAACUCUCAACUCAGAAUAACUAAAAGUAUUUGGUCGAGGGCCUAAUCCUAGAAUAUCUGCACAUUCACGAAACAGUGUGACAUAAGUUUUACUUUUGUAAAAGCAUUCCUACUUCUGUGUGUUAAUGUCAAAGCAGAGAAACCUGAAUUGGAUACCACUAAUAAUAUGGUCGUUUACCUUCGUCAUCCUCUUUUUCUGAUUUUUUCCUCCUCAUAUAUAGAAUCGCAAAUAUUAAUAGCAAGCUCACAACUCCAACAGGAACUGCAAUACCAACUAUCAACCCAGUCCUGCUCUUCUUUCCUGGGGUAGUUGGUGGAAGCCCGGAAACUGUUGGUGUAAAAUCUGAGUGAUAAAACAGACGAAUUCUUCAGUGUCGAUUAACAGUAGAAAAAUAUAUUUAAACCAUUCACAAGAAAUCUCUACUAGUUAACACAAAUUAUACCUGAAGCAGCAUGGACAGCUGCUAUUAGUGAGCCGUAAUCACCUUGAUUGGGUAUGCAACAAGUCCCUUUACCAGCCCAGAACAGAUGAAUUUCAAGAUAAUUCUCUGACACGCUAACAUUGAAUCUUUUCAUAAUUCCUAGGUUAACCCCACCUGCCUCCUUGGAUAUGUCAAAGUCCUGCAUCCUGCAGAUACCCUAGCAACCAAAUGAAGAGCUAGGUCAUAAUUCUAGUCUCCUUUAAAUCAUGGAAGACUUUGGAUGCAGUCCAUAACUACCAAUGUUUUUUGACUGAAACCUUGAUAGUUUUUUGUUUUUUAUUAAAGUAGCUUAAACUAUCGAAAACCUGUCCAAUGAGUCUUUACUUCAAAUAAGAUAGAUUUUUUUUUUCCAUAAGCAGCCAUACCUGAAUAUAGAUGUCAAAUACACGCCGUCCUAGACUUUCCCAAGUUUGCUGAAUGCGCCUAUCAAAAACCGUCUCUGCAAAGUGCAAUGUUACAGUGUAAGGUCCAUUCUCAAGACCCAGGCCAUAGUAUCUCAGUGAUCCUGGGGACAAUCUUGAAGUCUGGAAAAGCUCUGGGGUCACAUCUGUUCCGGUGACUUGUGCAAGGGUAUUUUCCAGAAACGAUCGGUUCACUCCGUCAGAAAACAUACCGACAUUGCUGACAGCCCAUUUCUCUGUACUGGUUACAUUGAAUGUUGCUGGACCAAGAGCUGAGUCUUCGGCCUCAUACGAUAUGCCAUCACGUCCCUUCAUUUCCGGUCCACCACAGUUGAUUGAGAAGUUUGCAUCUGUAAGUUUCAUGUAAUACCAGAAUCUACCCAUGAUUAGCGAUGAAACUUCAAAUUGAAGACUCGUACUAAUGUUUUUCAGUCACAUAUUUGUGACCAGAGAAGCAAUCUAUAUCCAUAUGUAUACAUAACCAGAGAAGCAAUGCCUUCUCCUCUAACAUGACGUUGCGUUAAAACAGUAAAUGUUGGGUGACAUAAAAGCAGAUUACAUCGUGGGGCAUUUCGAUUGCAUGGAAAUUUUUUCUGGAGGCAAUUCAAUCCAGGAAGAGUAAUGCAAACACAGAGAACAAUUAUUAGUUAUCCAGAUAGAAACAUAUAGUGGAAGAGUAGUGAUAGUAUUGCUUGUCUAAAAACCGGCAACAGAAACUUCAACUCACGUUAUGUUUUUUUUGUCAAAUGUGAAGUUGUUGACCACUAAGUUCCUGCAUAAAAUCAUUAAUCAAUCAACAUGUGAAGAAAUAUAUCUCUGUCAAAUGAAAAUUCCAUGUACUCUCAAAACUUAAUAGGCAAGUAGCACUGUGAGAACGAAUCGCAGUGAUAUUUUUUGUCCCAACAUAUUCUGGGGAUUUAAACUGUAAAAUGAAGGUGAAAGAUAAAAGGUGAUGUACAGUUGCGAUAUUGUGGUCACCCACUGGGGAAAGCUACCUGAUAAAAAAUUGUAAGACAAAUCUCUGCAAAUAACAAAAUAGAAUCAUAAGACACAAAAUACAUGAAAGUUAUAAGAACUUGUGUAAGAUAAAGGAUUAGAAUGCUUAAAAAAUGCACAAACACAUACAUGCACGUGCAGACGCACGUACAAAGUACUGGUUUCAGUGUCAAUAGACUCAGUACAUUCUAUAUGACUACUUUUAAUACAUGAGGACUUACAUAGUUUGAAGUCGAUUGCUCUUUUGGCUCGGAAGAGGUCCGGACAGACUAUUGUUUCCAAGAAACCUGGCCAUUUCGAUUAUAGUAGAAGGCACCCAGAAAAGAAAAAGAGAUGAGCAAGAAAAAAGUCAGAUGUGCACAAAAUCUAGAAGGAUUAGUCCAGAUCUUCAAUCAAAGUAGGGAAUGUUAAAGAUUUGAUAACUUAUGUAGGCAAGCAAAAUAUAAUACUAAGGAUGGGGAUUACAAGGAUGUAAGAGAACUCAAGGUGAACAAAGAACUUGGGAGUUGGCCUAUCAAAUUGUUGAAACUCAGAUCCCUGCAACACCAACGAUAAGUUGAGAGGAGCAAUCAGAAUGAAAGAAAACUAAUUGGCCUCGUUGGGACUCAAGCUUAUAUGCGCUGGUACGUACAGUAUCUGUAGACUUUGAUAUUCUCCAAUAUCAGAUGGGAUGGUACCAGUGAUUAAUGCAUUUCGUAGUUUUCUGUUAUUCACAUCAAAUUUGAUAAAAAGUAGAUGGAGUAAGAUAUCAAAAGGAAAAAGGAAAAAGUUGGAUGAAAGUAUAUGGAUUAUGGAUCGACAAGAAUCUUCACUUACAAUUCAGUCAAGUUCUUCAUUUUUUUAAUGAAAUCAAGAGAGGAGCUCCCAUCGUAUAUAUCACUGAUAUGCCUACAUCAUUAUAUGCAAAAUAACUGAAAUCCCGUCUUCGGAGAAAGAGAAAGAAUUACAAUUUAUGAAGCAUUUGUACUUACAGAGAGUUCAAUGAGGUCAGCUGAGAAAAGCUGGUUGGUAUUGGGCCUUCCAAAGAGUUCCCUUGAAAUCACCUACGGAAACAUAUAAGAAGCUUGUGAACAAAUUAUCCAUCUCAGGUCUGCUUUCAUAAACUGCAUAAGAUCAAAAUUUUAUGUGGCUUACAAAGAAGUGAGUUGUGUCCAAUUCCCUAUGAAAUCAGGUAUCUUUCCUGAGAAAAGACUGUCCGUUGCCCAACUAAAAUUCAAAAAGUUGACUUAUAAUAAGCUCAUCCAAGAAAAGCAAUCUCAUAGUACUAGAUAAACGAACAAAUCUAAAAUACGAUUUAAGAGCCGUUCUUACAAGAUUUGCAUACUGGUGAGCUUGGCAAAUGUUGAAGGAAUUUCACCACUGAGUCCACAGCUGUCCAUGUAACUGUGAAAAUCUUAAGGCAACUGAUUAAUACCCAAUUUAUACAAUAAGGUGCAAUUUUUGCUUAUGCAUAAGGAACUAACAUGUAAUUCAAAUUUGAUGAUUUAACGAACCACUUACAUUUGCUGGAGCUUGACUAAAUUACCAAGUUCUGGAGGGAGUGUUCCGGAGAAAUUAUUUGAUCCGAUGGCCCUGCAAGUCAUGUUGAACAGGCAAACAAUUACUUGAAAGCAAUUAUUGAAGAGUGAUAGAAGGUUCUGUAUGUAAUGUUUAUGACACAAAAUUUUACUGUAGGCUUUCUCAUUUUUCAUGGCUUACAGCAUAUUUAGCUCCGUAAGGUUUCCAAGCUCCUUGGGGAUGGGCCCAGAGAAUGAAUUGUGGCCAAUUGACCUGAAUGGAGAUAUCAGUUAACUAAAGAUAAGCACCAUUACAUUACAAGAAACUAGGACUGCAUUAUUCAAUAAAAACAUAAUGGUUUUGUGUAGAUUACGGGGUACAUAAUAGAGAAAAUAUAUAAAGAACAUAACUGUAGAUUAUGAUAUUCAAAAUGAAGUAUACAAAUUGCGACGAGUCUCAUCAGAAGUAUGAGUACUUAAACAAAUUUUCUCUCACUACUUACAAUAUAAUCAAUGCAGACAUAUUGCCAAUGAAUCCCGGUAGGGGACCUUUGAAAUAAUUCAUAUCAAUUUUCCUACAAAAAUUGAAACGAAAUGUAAUCAUUAACCCUUAAUCUUACGACAUCACUAUAUUUUUAAUUUCCAAUUGAUAAUUUUGAUGAACCAAAAACAGAGAAGGGAAUUGGAAAAAAUUCAUACAAAACUGCGAGAUAUCUUAGAUCCAAAAAUUCUUCUGGAAACACCCCUCGUUUGUACAGAGCAUGCACUCUCCUGGAAAGCAAAAAGAUUGAACAUUUAGAACUUUAUAAAAUGGAGUGGCACAGUCAAAUUAUUGACUAAUAUAUAUAGGUAUAGCUAGCGAAAAAUCAGCAUUGGCAUAGAAAUCUUGUUCAUAAAGAGAGAGUAGUUUAACAUACAGUUUGGUGAUGUGGCAUGUAGUAUCGUUGUCAUAAGUACAGUCGCAAGCGAUGGCUGGGUUGUUAUCGGGGAUCUCAAAUUCGGUGCCGUUGAUGGCAGAUCCACUGCAGGGUUCUCCACUGGUAUUCCACAGUCCCGACACUGCUUGUGUGUCCCAUUGUUCAAAUAUUGAGUUCAACGCCCUCACUGCACACUCAGUUAAUUCAGUCCUUGUGUGUAUUAGAUUAUAUCACACCAUAAUUUGACUUGUGUUACCACUUACCAGACUAUCUCGAAUCAAAUGAGAGAUCAAAUUGAUUAUUACAAAGGAAAAUGUGGCAAAGUGUGUGUGUAGGGGGGGAGAGAGAGAGAGAGAGAGAGAGAGAGAGAGAGAGAACCUUCAGAUGGAUCAGUGGUAGCAUUUUUAGCAAAGGACAGCUGAAACCAGAAGCGGCUGAGGAAGCAGAGUAAUAGUAUCCUCAUCAUCAACUUCAUCUUCAUAUUGUAAAUGUGCAGAACUUGCUCUCCUCGACGGCGUGAAACUAAACGGCCAACCCUUAUAUUCCGACUGGCUGAAUCUUGCAUGUAAAAAGAAGACCAUAAGGCCUCGUUUGGCAGCUCAGACUGUACUGACUAUUUCAGUCGGAUAGGAUAAAUAAUCAUCGGAUAGUACUGAAUAAUUAGUCGGGCAUUUGGUGCUUUCCCGGAUAAAUCUGUACAUCGAAUAAUAUAUCGGAUUACAAUAAAUUUCUAAAAAAAAAAAAUCACCGAAUAACUAAUGUUAAAAUGGAAAAAAGGACCAAAGAAAAAAAUCCUCAUUGCACCGACAAAUUAAAAAACAAAACAUAAAAAAGGAAGGAAAGAAACCCAGGUUUCUCUCAUAGUUGUGUUAUCCUUUCUUCAUCAUCAUCCCCGCACAUCAAAUCUCACUCUCUCUGCCGAACCCAUUUCCUUAUUUCUUAAUCUCCCAAGACCCAAAUGGAUUCUCCGCACCAAAAUCAAUUUGUAAGAAAUAGACAAAUCAGCCAAUUUCAUAAGAGAGGGAAUAGAGAGCAAACAGAGAAAGGGAGCGGAAAAAAGGACGAAGAAGAAUGAAGGAUAACAUAUGAAUUUGAGAGGAAGAAGAAGAACAAGAACAACAUAUGGAGUUCGUUCUGGAUAGAGGAGAGAACGGAGAAGGCACAAAUUUAUUUGAGAGUGAAGAGACAACGCGAUUAAAUUUUCCUGGGCUUUUGAGUUUUGAACCUGUUAAAUUAUCCUUAGCUUUUGGAGUGUAUUAUUUAGCAGGUGUGAGCCGGACUAAAAAGUGGGCCCGGGAUAUAUAAUCGGCCGGCUAAUUAAUUCAAAACUGCACCAAACACCUGUCUCGCACUAUUAAUCCUAUCCGGAGUCUAAUACGGUGUCCCAAACGAGGCCUAAGAUUUUAGUCAUAUAUUGACAACGUGUGCGUAUAUACUUAAAUUUUGUCCAAGUUGUAGAUCAAUGGCGGCCAACACCUUUUUAAAUUUCCCACUUGGAGUUGGCUAAGGCUUUGAUCGUAUUAGUUGAAUUGUAUAUUGUCGUAUUAGACAUUGAGCUGCUUUAGUGUGGAAAUAUUUAUGUACAAUUCUAGAUUGUUAAUACUUUUCUGGUUGAAAAUAUCAAGGGAUUUAUGUACAAUUCUAGAUUGUUAAUACUUUUCUGGUGGAAAAUAUCAAAGGAUUGACUUACGGAUCAACAUUCUGACUCGGUCCACUACUAAUUAUGGAGAGGGAUUUUUAUCCAUAGCGAAAGAACAAAGGAUUAAUUCCCUGUUAGUUGGUGAUUUUGAUAUGACAUCUAACGAGGAUGUCAUCAUGACAAUAUCUUAAACUAAUCACAUUAUUAUGUAUAACAAAAUUGAAUUGUAACUUUGGUCUAAAAUGGGCGACUCUAAGCAAACAAGGAUUCCUGCUUUGGAAGGAUGGGAAAAGAACGUUCAUUAUAAGCAAAAAGACUGUUUUCACGACUCGAACCUGUAACAUUUCGGUCACAAAGAAGCAAAUUUUGCAUUGCACCAAAGCUCGCCCUGAAUUGUAGCUUUAGUCAAUAAUCUAAAAUUUUAUUAUAGCUAUACAUGUAUUCGACAAAAUAUGAAACACUGGUUAUUGACGCUAAUUCUAUGAGAAUUUUUAUUAAAAGGAGCAUACAUGCAAUUCUCUAAUUUACUCUUCUUAAAGGUAUUCCUCGGAAUUUUGGCCAAAAUUCUUAGCGCGAUAGACUAAUGCUUAACAUAUGUCAAACUUAAAUACUAUCUCUAAUAGAUCUUUAAUUUGCAUACUAAAACUACAAUCAAGUCAUAAUUCACAAAUUAGUCUAGUACAUUAAUUUCCUCCUUUUCAAUGUUAGGUAAAAAAAAAUACUGUUCAUAUCAAAGACUCAUACUCAUCCUCGCAAUCGUAUCAAUAAGUUCAUCUCUCUUAGCAUAAAAUAAAAUUGACAGGUUUUAUCAACCAGUUAUACGCAUUGGUUGGGAAAGGCAAGGGAGACACAUAUACUGCCUAAGUGGAAUCCGGAUCCUCACAGAGAUCUAUAAAUCGUGUUUGUUUAGCGUACUUCAUGUGGUCAAAAAUUAUUUUUAAUUUUUUAUUUAAAAUGAAAUACAUACAGCAUUUGACGAAAUUUAAUCAUAUAACGUACGAUAAACAGAUAUAAUUCACAUAUCUUCAAGAACCUCACGAGAAUCCAAAGAAUCAUGUUAGGCCUAAGUGGCCUUUGGUGUAUGACACGUAGGUUGCACAUGCAACGCGAUCAACUUGCGGAUCAACUUGCGGUCAGAGUUGACGAGUCUUCCAAAAUGUUCAAUAAGUUUUUUUUGGUAAAAAAAAAAAGUUCAAUAAGUUUAUUCAUGGAUAAGACAUUAUAUAAGGGAUUAAUCUCAAUUUAUUAUUAUAAAGUUUUAUGAUUUUUAAUAUUUGUUAUAUUAAAUUUUUUUUAUCCUAAAAUCAUACCUACUAAUUUCAUACUUCCGUUAAACUGAUUGUUAAGUCAUGUCAACAAUAUGUUACGCAUCAUUAAAGUCCACGUGAAUGUUAAAAAAAAUUAAAAACUAAAAAAUUAAAAAACUAAGAAAAAAAAAAAUUGAGCGAUGAUGCAGCCUGCUGGUAUCUUUCUUUCUCUUCUCUCCCUCAAAUCUCAUAUACCCAGCAACCCUUGCCCUCGCGACCUCGUAACCGUCGCCCUUCGUCUCGCUGCCACUAGCAAUGGGUGGGCGGAGAUCGAUUCGGCCACCAACGGAGGAAUUGAAAGGGAAAAUAAAGCGUGACCGAUGAUAAGCCUAUCGAUCCGAUUUGCUCCGAAGAAUUAGAAUUCUUUGUCCAUGGAGUUUGCCCAUUUUACUUUUUCCAAAUCCAAUUUCCAUCGUGCGUUUUCCUUUGCCCUUCAAAAAAAUUGCAGAAAUUUGGGAACGAAGGUGAAGGCAGAGAAAUCCCGCUCAUCUCUUCACUCCAAGGCCAAAUCCCACUCAUUAGAUUUUCAUCUCUUCUACCUUAAUCCAAGCCGCGGUGGAGCUGGGCAAAGCCGAAGGCAUGCCAGACUCACCAGUCCAGAUCCCAACCAUUUAUUUUCUGCCUGAACCACCCAGCCAACCCCGAACCACCAGGACCCGCACAUGUUGCUGCUCGACCCGUCGCAAGCUCGCGCCUGCCUGACCACCCGCCAGAACCACAAAAGUUGCACCUCCGUCGCACCCAGAUCGGCAGAAGAACUAAUUGCAGAAGAGUGAAAAAGGGACGGGGGAGAGGAAGCAACUAUCCCCACCUUUUUCUAUUUUUUUUUUUUUUAAUGUUUCUUAAAUUUAUUAAUUUUUUAAGUUUUUUAAAUGGGAAAAUUAGAAUCCCCUACAACUUUUUUAUAUCUUUUAGACUAAACAUUUGUGCCUUUUCAAAAUUUGAUUAAAGUGCUUUGACCAAUAGACACCUCACAAUUUUCUGUUAAAUUAAAUUACAUAUCAUUAUUGUAUUUUCUUAAAAUAAAAUGUUAAUUAUUAAUUUCUAAAUUAUCCUCUUAUGUUUUUAUGCGUUUUUCCCCUUAUUUAGUGGAGUAUUAGUUAUUAACUCUAUUAUCCCUUUUUCCAAUUAUAAUUUUUUGAUCAAAAUAAUUUUUUUGUUCUACAAACAUUAAUAUUAUCUAUUUUUGUCAAAUGGUUGGCGAUCCAACAAAGCACUGUGUAAUUUUUCCCCUUUUUUUUGUCAAACUAUUUUUCUUUGUUUUUUAUUUUUAUUUUUUUUAUUUUUACUUAUAGUUGUUGACAAACUAUUAUUAGGUACAACAUAUUAUGUGUAUACUGCCGUUAGGUACGUUUUAAUUUGUAAAAAACAUUGAUUGGUACGUUUAUUUGCAGUUUUGGUACGUUUGAUUUGGUACAUAUUGUUGAUAUUGGUACAUUACUUUUGAUUUUGGUACGUUUGAUUUCAUACACUUUAUUUAUUGGUACGUUUAUAUUGUUGUUAGUCCUAUUUUCUCUUAAUGUAUUGAUAUAAAAAAUUAUAUUGGUACAUUUGAUUUCGUGAGAUUUAAAAAUAUUUUCAACCCUUUUGGGAAUAAAAUAUUAAAUCGUAGAAAUCAUUGCUAAAUUGUAGGAAGUAUUGUGAAAAUAAAUUGUAUUUAACUAGGGUUUUUUUGUUUACAAUUAUCUCCAAAGGGGGAGAAGGUAAUCAAAAUGCUUGAUUAUAGGAAGUUUGUUCAAUACGCUGUGCACUUUUUUGGCGUGAGAUUAAGAAAUAUGGAGUAGUGGCAGGUCAUGUAAUUUUGGUAUAAAAAAUGAUUAAUUCUAAUAUAUGUGGCAACAAAAUGAUGAGAACAAGAGUUUAAUCAAAUCUCUAAAAGGCAUAGAUGUUUAGUAUAUAAAAUUCAAAAAUAAGGCACCUAUAUCAAAACAUCUCUUUUUAAAUUUUAAUUUUUUUGUAAUUUUCACGUAGAUCUUUAAUGACACUUCGAUCAUUGUUCACAUGAGCAUAACGUUAUCAGUUAACAGAUGACAUAAACAACUUCACGAAUGUAUAAGAUUAUCUGAAAAUUAAGACUUGAUGUAUGACUCUGAAAUAAAAAAAUAUUUAUAUAUCAAAUAUUGAAAAUUACGAAAUUUUAAGUUAAUAAACUGAGAUGAAUCUUUAUAUAAAAUAUGCAAAUAAUUAUUAGAUAUUGGCAAACCACAGCAAUUUUUUUUUUUUUUUAAGCAAGCAAAUGGACUGGGAAAUAUACUGCUUUCGAAUGCAUCUGUUGAUCACAGUUAAGGAUGAACUUUAACAUUUCAAAAGAGAGAGCCAGCUAGCUAGCAGUUGAUCUCCUGUAUUUUAUAGGUGUAUAUCAUAUGGAGAGAGAGAGAGAGAGAGAGAGCCGACCUGCUGUUGAAGCAGAAGGGAGGAGCUGAAGCAGAAGCAAUCAAAAAACUGGAAGGAAGAGAUCAGAGAAUCAGAGAUGGCGGCUGCUUCGCCCACUAGUUCUGAAAUUCAUCCCGUCUCUCUCCUCUCUCUUUUUCCUACUAAGAGCCAAUGAGAAUGAAGAGGAUAAUUCCCACCGUGGCACCGUGGGAGUAGUGUACAUACAUAUGGACCUGGAUUGUUUGCCUUUCUAUCAUUUUCUAUUUUUGUGAUCACGGUUAAGCCACGUUAACAUUUUAUAUUAAUUUUUUUAUAGAAAUAAUAAACCACGUUAAUAUUUUAUAUUAAUUUUUUUUUAUAGAAAUAAUAAGACAAAAAACAAUGAAAAUAUAAAAUGCUAACAUGGCUUAACAGUGAUCACAAAAAUAUGAGAGAAUAAGAAUAGUAUGGAAUGAGGAGGGCAAACAAUCCAGGUCCCAUAUAUAUAUAUAUAUAUAUAUAUAUAUAUAAUGGUAUAAUCAAAGUUCUAAAAAACGUUAGACGCUAGUCAGGUUGUGGGAUGGCGCCUAGCGCCUAAGCGGCUAGGCAAGCGCCUAGACGGUCUAGGCGGAUUUAGGUAAAUUUCUUAUAUUUUAUAUAAAUUAAUUAAACUUACUAUAUCAGGUGUAAAUAAUUAUUGAAUAAUAUAUUAUUUCUUAUAGAAGAACAUACAUAUGUGAAUGUUUUAUGUACAUAUAUAAUAUGCUUGCCUAGGGAAAAAAAUACAAAAUAAUAUCUAAAUUAACAUUUAUAUACAUAUAAUAUAGAUAUACACCCCAAACUUUUAAAAUAUAAAAACCCACACAAGUGGGUGGUUUUCAUGAUAAAACCAUCUGACCCUUUAUAAUAUAUAACUUUUAAAAAUAUCAAAAGCUCACGCAAGUGGGGUGGUUUUCAUGAUUACAACUUGACUUGUAAACGGAUCGGGUUUAUUGAGUUUGGAUCGGAUUUAACCCGACUCAUUAAGCUAACGGGUCAUCCGAACUCAAUCCGUUAAACUUAACAAGUCACCCGAAUCCAACUCGUUAAGCUAACGGAUCAUCUGUUUCAACCCGUUUCACCCGUUAACCACCAUUGAAUUGAAAACCAGAGAUGUCUUUUCUGGAAGUGGAGACCGCAAAGCGAUGAAUCCAAGACGAUGUGAUUGUCCUGCACAUGCCACCAUUGAAUUUGAAUCCUCUCUUCCUCCUUCUCCAUGCCUGCAAAAAUAAAUUCAGAAAUUAAAUAUAAAAAAUAAAAGCAAAAACCUGCAUCUUCCCAAAUGAAACCCGAAGUGAAAAAUCGAAAUUUUAACAGUUGAAGGAAGCUUACAAUGAGACGUUUCCAUGUAAAUUACAUAACUUUGAGUCUCAUAUCCAACUUGCACCACCACAGAUAUUCGACUUUCUUCUAGCAAAUAGAGAGAUAGACGGCGAGACUCGAGGAGACAAGAAGGUUGUGAGUCUUGCGAAUAAAGUUUCUUUUCCAGGCUGCGCAGACCACCUAGCGUCCGUCGAGCUCGCCUAGCCCGCCCAGGCGGCCGUCUUACAUCGCUUAAUGUCCUUGCCGAUUUAGUGAACGAUUUCUAGUUAAUUGUGGUGGAGCACCGCCGCCUAGCGCCUAGGCGGCCGCCUAGACCGCGUUUUAGAACACUGGGCAUAAUUGGUCGUCGAUGUCAGUCUGUUUAUUCUCCAAACCAGCAAUUUGUUUAUUCUUAAAAUGCAGACGACGCUUUUCUAUAAGGAUGAAUAGUUUGUUUAUGUAUUUUGACGAGAGUAAUGUUAAAGAAAUUAAAUUUAGAGGAAAACUUUAUAAAUUAAAUGAUGUAUCAUCAAUAAGAAUAAGUAUUUUUAUCAAUGCUUAAGUAAUAAACCAAUCAUAAAUUUCUAUGUUUUUUAAUUUCUAAAAUAUGCCUACAAAUUUAAUCUUGUUAACAUUAUUCUUUUGAUGUUGGUUUGAUUUCCACUUAUUUCUUUCUUUCAACAAUUAACAAUUUUAUCUACUUAGGCUUUGCCUAAUGUCCGCACAAUUUUACAACUUUCAACAUGCAUUUGCUUUGGGCUGGAUCAUUUUUCUUGACUAAACCAGGAUUAUAAUUCAACAUUAGCAUGAAUGAUUCACACCGUUACAUAUAUAGUCUUACACGUUAAUGCACAUCGACUUGGGCUUUUGCCUAAUGUCCACACAAUUUUGCAACUUUCAAUAUGCAUUCGCUUUGGGCUGGACCAUUUCUCUUGACCAAACCAAGAUUAUAAUUCAACAUUAACAUACAUGGUUCACACCGUUUACAUAUAUAAUUUUACGUGUUAUUCCUGUCAAUUCUGAAAAUAACUUUUUGAAUUUUUCUCAACGACAAGAUAUUUGAUAAUGUGGAUGGCAUUAAAUUAUCUCGUAAUCAAAAGAUAACGAGUCAAUGGACAAAGUUGACGAAUUGGGAGGUGGGCUCGUUUAAGAAAGAAAUCAAAAUUUAACUUUAAAAUGUCCAGUUUGUGAACAACUUGUAAUUUAUGAAAAAAAUUGUUAAAAUGAAGGAUCCUUUGAAUUAAUAUAAUAUUUUCAGUCGUCAUUUCGUUUCGAACUUUAGUUUGCAAAGUUAUAUACUUACAACAUGAUUUUUGUAAUUAUGUUUAGUCAUAAAGGGUUUGGUACACAAACAACAAAUGGUUGCCACAAUUCUAUAGAGGACACAAAUUUAGGCUAUUUUUUUCACUUCCAUAUUCAAUAUGUGCAUAAUGUUUGGUGUGAAGGACAUUUUGUACUUGUCUGUAAGGAACUAUGAAAAUGAAUAUUUCAAUUUACCAUAUACAAUUUUAAUCUCUUCCCAAGUGGUGGAUUGCCCUAGUAUAUAGGGUCUUUCUUUCAUUUCACUACAUCCCGAAUUCAAACCUCAUACUUUCUUUCAAGAGUAUUUUAGUUCUUUUUAUAGUUUACUGUAAAAAUAUCGUUUUUAUUCUUUUUUAUAGCCUUUUUCAUUUUAAAAGGUAUCUAAACACUUGAGUAACCUGCACGCGUAGAUAGGUAGAUAGAUAAGAUAACGUUACGUAUACGAAGAUACGUGCGAGAAUACACUGAUUGAAGAAAAACCUAGUUGUAUCCAAGAGACAUACAUGCAAGACUAGCUCAACUUAAACCGAAAAUAACUAGUCAAAACAUAAAACUAAGCCAGUUGGCCUCAUCACUUCUAACUAUUGGACCUACGUCUUGUAAUUGUAUGAUGCUAGUUCUUUGUGGUCAGUGGAUCACCGCGUGCCUUUUUUUGUACACUUAAGUUUUAAUCCAUAUCUAUCAAGUCAAGGAAAAUUUAGGUAUGCUAAAUCAAAGUAAAUUUAAGUAUUUUUUACCAAAAAAAAGAAAGUAUAGGUAUUUGAAUUGAAUUUCUCCAAAUCAAGUAAAUCUUAAUAAAUGCCCUUCUGUUUAGAGGAUUUCUCGCGUUGGAGCUGGAGCCCAAGUAGGAAAUUCCUGGUGCCCAAGCCUAGUUUCCACCUCUCUAACAAGCUUAAAAAUGAGUAAAUAUGAUAUAAGUACGUACUAUAUAUAUAUUAGCAUAUAUAUGAAUUUAUAAAUGUAUGGAAGAUAAAGGGGAUCCACACGGCCAACAAGGCGGCUCAGAGAUAAGAGCGCAACGCUGAUUACCGCUUCUUGCACGACUGUGUUUCGGAUAUUUUCGCCCAGUGUCUCAAGUCUGAGAUUGAAAAAUUUCAUCAUCACAAGGAUCAUGAGUCAUGACCAUGACCAUCAUGAUGAUUACUGCUUGGAGAUUACCCAAGCGGCUACCUCUUUCCCUACCACCGCUGAUCAUCAUAUGCUGUUCAAAAACAUUGCAAGGAAGGUUUUCCCGCCAGAAUCAUGCCGCCGAGAAGGGGAUGGUAGUGUUUGUUGUAUUGACCGACUGAGGAAGGAGGUUUUGUCGCCCUUGAGAAAAACUAUGGCGCCAGAGGGCUGGGAACCUGCCAACCGGUGGGGUUAUAGAGCGGAGUACAAGCGAAAGCAACUGGCUGCAGCCAAUGAAAUUGAUCCUGGCGAUGCCGCGCUGCUUCCGCAUGACAUAUUAAGCUAUCUCAAGUAUCCCGAGCUCGAGCAAGAUGCUGAUGUUAAGUGGAAGAAAAUGGUGAAGGUCUUGUAGAAAACCUUAAUGUAUAUUUCAGUGACUCAAAACAGUUUACAAGAUUAAGCAUAAAUAGAGGAAUAAUCGGGAAAGAGAGGAGAGUAGGGGACAAUGGCAGCUAAGCAAGUCAGCUAAGCAAGCAUGAGAGUAUGAUGACCUCCACACUCUCUUAACACAUGCUUUACAGCUUAUUAACAAGCUUUACACAGAAGAGGGAAUAACACAGCUCACUAAACCCUAGCUAAACACAGCUAACACAGCUUUACAGCUGUUAGGGUUUAAAGAAUUCAAUAAUAUUCAAUACUCCCCCUCAAGCUGGAUCGAGAGAUUUUCUGGAUCCAAGCUUGAAGAGAAUACGAUCAAGUUGAGAAGAAGGAAGGGGCUUGGUGAACACAUCGGCUAGUUGAUCACUGGAGCGAACAAAUGCAGUUUGUAACAGCUUGGACUGGACUUGGUUGCGGACGAAAUGACAGUCAACCUCGAUAUGCUUUGUUCGUUCAUGAAAGACGGGGUUGGCAGCAAUAUGCAUCGCUGCUUGAUUAUCACAGUGGAGGAGAAUUGGCUUGGAAGAGAUGAUGUCAAGAUCAUGCAGCAAACUCUUUAGCCAAAUUAGUUCGCAUGCAGUAGAUGCCAUUGCACGGUACUCAGCUUCUGCGCUGGACCGAGCUACAACAGAUUGCUUUUUGCUCUUCCACGUGACGAGGUUACCACCUACAAGAGUGCAGUAACCAGUUGUGGACUUGCGAUCAAGGACGUUGCCUGCCCAAUCAGAGUCUGUGUAUCCUUCAAUGGUGAAGUGUCCGUUGUUUUGCAUGAAAAUCCCGGUAGACAUUGAGCCUUUUAAGUAUCGAAGGAUCCUUUUAACAAGUUGCAAAUGAUGAGAUGUGGGAGAAUGCAUGAACUGGCUGACAAAGCUAACAGCAUAAGCAAUGUCAGGUCGAGUUAUAGUCAAAUAGAUAAGUUUUCCUACCAACCUUUGAUACUCCGAUGCAUUUUCCAAGCUGGAUGCCUGAGGUUUCAUGCUUGAAAUUUGUUGGUAGAGGUGUUUUAGCAGGUUUGCUGUGCAUCAUAUUGGCUUCUUCUAAAAGAUCGAGAACGUACUUUUGUUGAUUUAGAAACAACCCCGUUGGAGAUUGAUCCAUUUCGAUUCCGAGAAAGUAUCUAAGUCUGCCGAGAUCUUUGAUUGAGAAUGUUGAAUGUAAGGUGGCUUUGAGAGCAUUGAUUUCUUCUGGAUUAUCUCCUGUGACAAUGAGAUCAUCAACAUAAACAAGUACCACCAAUCUUCCAUGUGUGCCAAGCCUAGUGAACAUUGAAGAAUCUGCAUUGCUUCGUUUAAAACCGGAUGACAUAAGGACAGAGCUUAGUUUUGAGUACCAAGCCCUUGGAGAUUGCUUGAGACCGUAAAUGGCCUUGUGAAGCUUGCAUACUACUCCUUGUUCCUUCUCUCGUUCAUGACCAGGUGGUAGGCGCAUGUACACUUCUUCUUCCAACUCUCCAUGAAGAAAAGCGUUUUUUACAUCCAUUUGAUGUAGAGACCAUUGUGAAUUGAUAGCCACCGAAAGAAGAACUCUAACUGUGUUCAUCUUUGCCACCGGGGCAAAGGUUUCUUUGUAAUCUACCCCGUAGGUUUGCGUGAAGCCCCUUGCAACUAACCUUGCCUUGUGCCGCUGGAUGGUUCCAUCUGAGUUAAAUUUUGUCUUGUAAAUCCAUCUUGCCCCAACCACACGUUGAUCUUUUGGCAGAGAAACAAUGCUCCAAGUUUUAGUUUCUUCGAGUGCCUUCAGUUCCUCAAGCAUAGCACAUCUCCAUAUAGGAGAUUGGUUUGCCUCUUCGAAGGAUCGAGGCUCCGAGUGUUGAGAUAACUUAGUGACAAAUGCUGCAUGAGAUGGGGAGGUCUUGCUAUGGUGAACCAUUUGUCCAAUAGGAUAUCUAGGCAUGUAGAUUUCAAAAUCAUCAAGCCUGGCUGGAGGUUGUCUGUUUCGAGAAGGAUUCCUUCGUGGAUGAGUAGGUUGUUCAAGGGGCUCUCUCCUUUCGUGGAGGACUUCUUCAUUAUUUGCUUCUAUAUUUUCAUGAGCUGGCUCUAUCUCAAUUGCUUCAUUGUGCGGUGUUGACAGUCUUGGAUCAUCAAAGGACGAGAGGAGUGGGAAACACUUCAUAUGAGAGCUCCCCCUGAGGUUCAUCAUCAUGCUUCUGAAAAGAAGAAGUGUGUCUCAUCAAACCGUACAUCCCUGGAUACAAACACCUUUCUGGUUUUAGAAUCAUAGCAUUUGUAUCCCUUUUGGGAAGUUGAGUAGCCUACGAAUGCACACUUGAUAGCCCUUGGAUCAAGUUUAUCUCGGUGAAUAGUUUGAAUAUGCACAUAGCACACACAUCCAAACACACGGAGAUGACUUAUGUCAAUAUCUCUCCCCUUGAGAAUUUGACAAGGAGAUUUAAACUUCAAGAUUCUGCUAGGAAGUCGAUUUAUGAUGUAUGCAGCGGUUUGUAUAGCUUGAGACCAGAACUUCUUUGGAAGGUUUGCUUGUAACAUUAGUGAUCGUGUUUUCUCAAGCAAAUCUCGGUUCUUCCUUUCUGAAAUGCCAUUUUGUUGUGGUGUUCCUACACAAACUAGUUUGUUGCAAGAUUCCAUGCUCACUUAAGUAAGUUGUCAUGAUUUUGGAAGUAUACUCAGAGCCAUUAUCAGACCUUAAGAUGCCAAUAUUAGAGUUAAAAUGAUUUUGAACUAAGUUAUGAAAAUUUUUGAAACACUGGAAAGCUUCGUGCUUGAAUUUAAGUAAUACACAAAGGUAGUUCUAGAGAAAUCAUCAAUGAAAGAUAUAAAGAAUCUGUAGCCAUCAAAAGACUCUAAGGGUUGCAGGUCCCCAAAUGUCGGAAUGGACAAUUUCAAAAACUUUGGUAGCUCUAGAGAGAGAAUGGGGAAAGGGUAACCUGGUGGACUUAGAUUUUUGACAAACUUCACAAUCUGAAAUCUCUUUACAGAAACUAGGAAAAAUAAAAGACAUAACAUGGGAAGAAGGAUGAGCUAAUCUCAUGUGCCACAGCUGCUCCUUGUUUACUGUGUUUGAGUUUACGUAGAAACCUUUUGGAAAACUUGAAGAGAAGUUGACAUAGUACAGUCCAUUGAGGAAGAAACCUUUACCAAUCGUUUCCUUCGAAACUCGGUCCUGGAAAAUCACACAGUGAGUGGAAAAAAUUGCAAGACAAUUUAGCAAUUGUGUUAUUCUUCCUACUGACAGCAACUUGAAAGGGAAGGAAGGGACAAUGCAUGACAAGGGAUUCCUUUUUACUUGAGAAGAUUUUGAGUUUUCCUAUGCCUACUAUACUAACUUUGGUGCCAUUAGCUACGGAGACAAAAGAAGGAGUGGAGAAGUUUUGAAAAUCAUUUAGUAAAGAUGCAUCGUUAGUCAUGUGAUCAGAAGCUCCUGAGUCGACUAUCCAAAAACCACGGCUACUACUAAGAUCCAAUGCAGUGGAAAUAGUUGCAACAAUACCUGGCACAUCAUUUUGUGACACUGAGCUUGACUGUUCGAGGAAGCCAGCAAACUUGCCGAGCAUGGCUGCAGGAUUUUCAUGAUUUGUUGUCCCUUGUUUCUGUUGCAAGAAGUUAGCAAAUUCAUUUAUGAGAGUAAUGGGACUAGAAGAAGAGUUCAUCACAUUUUUUGAGACAUUGUCGCAAACAAGGUUUCCUUGAGGAGUGUAGGCAGGCUUCAUUUGGUUUCUUGGUGCUCUUCCCUCAUCAUUGAACUUGGGUUUAAGUUCUGGAUGAAGAAUCCAGCACUUUUCUUUUAUGUGUCCAAUGCCUGGACGACCUAUUUUUCACACAGUGAGAACACUUUAAGUCUGGUCGUUUUCCCUUGUAUGGUCUGAAAGAGGUGAAGGCUCUUGCUUCUGAUGGCCUAGGAUCUGAUUCUCCAACGACAACGACUGCAUUCAUGACCUUCUUCCUUAUUUCUUCGCGUUGAAUAACGUUGCAGACCAUCUGGAAGGUGGGAAGCUCAGGUGUCAUCAGGAGAUGACUUUUAAGGUCCUCAUAUUCUGGUCCGAUGCUGGCAAGCAACUGGAACACUUUGUCUUCUUCAGCACGCUUUAAAAGAAUGGUUGUGUCCGUGGUAUGAGGUCUGUAGAGAUCCAAUUCAUUCCAUUUGGCCUUCAAGUUGCCAAGAUGUUGAACAAAAGAGAGAUUUCCCUGUUGUAAUUCUGUAAGAUCUUUCUUCAGCUGGAAGACUCGCGCAGCAUUGUUUAGAUCUCCAUACAUGUCUCGUACAGAAAUCCAAAGGUGGUGAGAUGAUACUGAAUAACUGAAAAUCUCAGCCAUCUUUGGUUCCAUAGAAUUCAACAGCCAAGACAUGAUAAGUUGGUCUUGGGACACCCAUGCUGCAUAAUCUUGUGAAGUUGUUUCGGGCAUGAUAUCAUCCUUUUGAAUGAACUGGAGCUUUCCACGUCCUCCAAGAGCGAGAGAAAUAGCUCGUGACCAAGGCAGAUAGUUGAAUUCGUUUAGGAGCACUGAGCUCAAACGUUGAAUUGGGUUGGUAUCCAUAGUUUCGUUUUUUGAAACUUUCUCUGAUGAUGUUGCCAUAAUGGCUUUAACUGGUUUGAAUUUGGUAGGAUUUCGGAAGAACACAGAAGCAGGUCCAAGAGGGAUCACUGCUCUGAUACCAUGUAGAAAACCUUAAUGUAUAUUUCAGUGACUCAAAACAGUUUACAAGAUUAAGCAUAAAUAGAGGAAUAAUCGGGAAAGAGAGGAGAGUAGGGGACAAUGGCAGCUAAGCAAGUCAGCUAAGCAAGCAUGAGAGUAUGAUGACCUCCACACUCUCUUAACACAUGCUUUACAGCUUAUUAACAAGCUUUACACAGAAGAGGGAAUAACACAGCUCACUAAACCCUAGCUAAACACAGCUAACACAGCUUUACAGCUGUUAGGGUUUAAAGAAUUCAAUAAUAUUCAAUAGGUCUACUUAAAGCAGGGGAAGCUGAAGAAUUGGCUGUGUGUGAUGUCGACAACUCCUUGUCGGCGGGUUUGGCGGUUUUUUCUGCAGGUGCAGCUUUCUUGGCUUUUCUGGCUCGUUUUCUACUCUUUCCCUGCCAAAUUUAUCCAUUGUACGUAGAAAAUUAGAAAUCGAUAAGUAAGGCUCAAUGCUGGCAGUAAAACAAAGACAGAAAAACAAAAGGGAAAAACUAAAAAAUAAAUCACAUGCAGAUAAGAUUUAAAAAUAUUAAAAAAGUUAACCAUCACCCAAUACUAAUUUGUAAGCAGGUGAGACUCCAAUAACAGUUGAGAAUUUAGGCACAAACGACGAAGAAUGCAGAAUAAGCUGAAUGAAUCUUCCAAGCAUACACUUUAGAGAACAAUGCACACAUGACAGUCUAGAAAAAUGCAAAGAUAAACUCAAAUGUAGUAAAUAUUGGGAUAAACCACAUAGCUAAGCUAGCCAUAUCCCAUAAUAUAAUGAAUAAAUUCAAGGUUUUGGUUAGAAGGUCCUACUUUGAAAGGAAUGAUUUUACUGCAACGAAAUGCAUAAAAGGUGAAAGCAAGACACCAGUUCCAAGACAUGUCCUCUAUCAUAACUGAAUUGCCUAUUUAGUGGGGCUUAAGGACUCAGAAUUUGUUGUUUUAUGUGCCUAGGAUCUGAAAAGAAGUAUUCUUCGUAGAAUAGCCAUAGUUUCAAAGACUAGGACUAAAAACAAGUUAAUUGUCUGGAAGACAAAGGGUUUGUUGCAAAUUUCAGUUAUAAACUUGCAUAGGCAUUACCUGAUCGUAGUCCUUGUUAAGUACUUCCCAAAUGAAUCUUUUAAACCGCACCACCUCCUUGCUGUUAAGGUACCCAGCAACCUAAAAAACAGAAGCAUGAGUUCUUCCAUAUCGAAAUUCACAAACGAAAAAUAGAAGCAACAAUCACAUGGGAAUCCAAAUCGCUAUACGGACUACCGAGCAGGGCCGGCCCAGGCCCAGUGCAGGAGGGGCAACCGUCCAGGGCCCAAAAAAAUUAGGGGCACCAAAAUUAUUAGGGCGGUGUAUUUACAUAUGUUUUUAUAAGAGUAUAAAUUUAUAAAAUUUGAUUCAAAGACACAUAAAUUUAACUAGAAGUGGUGGUUUGUCAUUUGAAAAUAAUAAGGAGGUCUUGGGUUCAAAACACCAUGUGUGCUUAUUUACUUUCCUUUUUUUACAAAUUUUUUUUAUAAGAGUAUAAAUUUAGAAAAUUUGGUUAAAGGAUCAAAAAGUUUAAUUAGAAACAAUGAUUUUUGUUGUUUAAAAUUAACAAGUGGUCCUAAGUUCGAAAUGCUAUGUGCAUGUUUAUUCUUUUCAAUUUUUACAAAAUUUUGUUUGGUUGGUAAUUUAUUUUUAGUUACUAUCUAGUAGCUAUGUGGGUUGUUAUUUUUAAAUAUUCGUUUUAAUUCAAGUCUAAUCUUCAACAAAGAAUAAUACGUAGACCAAAUUUGCAAAUUAUAUGACGUGUCAUCAAAAUGUUUAAUUUAGUACCCAUUCAUUAAUAAUACAUAUUAAUUAAAGAUUCGAAAACAUCAUUAUUUUUUAGUCCAGUAUUGACAAGUUUAGUAAAUAAGAAAAAAACACCUCACGAUUUAUUCAAAAACACAUUCAAAGUUCAAAUGGAAAACAAAACUCAUCAUCUAUUUACUUGUAAGCCCGCAGUUUUUUUGUUUCCCUCUCUCAAUACAAAAUAAAUUAGUCUUUCUGUGUUUCUAAAUUAUUGAGUUUGAAGUGUUUUUCUAAGUAUAAUUUUUUCGAUGUCUUAUGUGUGAAAAUAAAUAAUUUCUUACAUGAAAUUAGGGCAUUUUUUUUUACGUCGCCCCGGGCCUCAAAAAUCUCUGGACCGGCCCUGCUACCGAGUGGGCUAUGAUGGAAGUGUUCUCUGAUGGGCAGGUGGGUGUAACCUUCAGGAUCUCUGCUUAGGUGUUUGAUUAAAUUUAUCCCCUUAAUUAUCAGACAUGGAAAAUGUGGUCGAUUGUCAUGAACCAAGAACUGAACUUUUCACAAUAACUAUGAAAUAAAAUUCCAACAACGUCGCAUGCAAACUAAAAAUUGUUAUUAUCAUCGAAAUAUUUGAGCACCUACCUUAAAUUCAUCAACUUAUGGAGAAUGGGCGGGCAGACACCAUUCGACGAAAACAAUUCAGAAAAUUGAAAAAAAUAAUAAGAAGCAAUGCCUGCUUUAUCUGCAUACCUCGGAGUCGUCGAUAUCUGAGAGGCUUUCUGAGACAUCGCCAUCCGCAGUUGACAUUGCAGCUUGCCGCCUUCUUUUGUAAACUCUCGGUUCUUUUGAAUUUUAUGUAAUUUUAGGUAUUCAGCUUUCGUGGAACUAGAAUUUAAAUCGACAGGAAUGUCGGCGAACAAACAAGAACCGACCUAGUUCAGUUUCCCUUUUAGAAUUGGAAUGGUGGAACCCAACCAUGCUGUUCUCUUUGUUCAAAUCAAAUUAAAUCAGACCAGUUUUGGUUCUUUGAAUCAAGCAAUAGAGUUAGUAAGUGUAAGUUAGAUGUUAGACAUUAGAUUUGAUUCUAGUUUCAAUUUUUUUUUUUAAUGAAAAAAAAGGUAAUAACAGACUAACAGUCCAAAAUCAACAGGGCUAGCCCCAAAAUAGUAGGAAAAAUUAAUCAAGAAACCAGAAAUACUCAGCCCAAUCUAAAAAUCAUGUGGUUCUUUUUUGGUAAACAAAACCGUGUGGUAAACACAAACGGCAUGAAUUACAUCUUACAUUGUAGAAACACAUUACUAUUCCUACUGUUGGGACCAAAUUCGCGCACAAUCGUUGAUAUACAAAUAAUCGUUGGAAUAUCUUGAACACCGAUAAAUAGGAGAAUUGUUUGGGGGAUGUAACUAAAUUAAAAAAUGAUUGCCUACAUAUCUCCUUGUCAAAGAGGGAGAAUCAAAUUGCGUGUAAUUCCAUGCAUGAGUUGGAUGAGCAUGUAGAGAUGUGUUUGAGCAUGUAUGCAUUAGAUGAGAUAUCAGAUAUGCGUUAUAUCUCCUUGGAAGGAACCCUAGCUUGGAUAUUUAUAGAUGAGAUCUUUCAACUCUUUGUCAAAUGCUUAUGCAUAUAUAAAGCAACAUAUCAAAGCCAAUAUUCUCAUGCUAUAAUCAUGCAAAUGUAAAGUGUAAAACAAUAAUUUAUUCAGCAAUCCAAACACAUAAAGCGUCAGUCACGUUAAAUAAAAUGAUAACAGCAAGAAUUAAAGCUAAGUAGGUAAAAGAUUAUCCUAGCAUUUUGUUGUCCUCAAACUUCCAUUAUUUCAAAACCCCUUUACCCACACCAACCCACAUUUUUUUUCUCAUUAACCGACUCCCUCUCACCACUUUCUUUUCAACUCUCUCCCAACCUUCCAAAACCUCUUUAUUUUCCUUCUUUUCUUCCAGUUCUUUCCCUUCCGGUAGGGGCUAUUCUCACACCUUCACUUCCCACAAACAUCCCCUUCUUGUUGGAAUCCAGCAAUAUAACUAAGUCUAACAGGAUUUGAGAGAAAGAUUGUAAGAUUUAGAAGAUGAAAUCAGAGAGAGAGAGCACACACAGAGCAUAGCCUUUCAACUUCUAUCAUUGUAUUGCAUUAUGGGCAUAACAACCCGAAGAGACAUAUAUCUGACGACAAAGAUGAGUGAGAGAGAAUCAUAACCUCAAUUCAAUCUCAACCAACCAUUACAACCUAUCUUAAGAUCAAGACACUUGUCAAAUGAUAAGCCCUAUGAGACUUAAUCAACACAUCACAAUUUUACACAAUAGCUCAGCCUAUGAGCUGAGACAUGACACACAUAACAAUCUUGUAAUGUUUACUAAUCAGUACAACAUACAUACUAACACUCUCCUUUAAGUUGUGAACUGAUUUCACUCCAAGUAGAUUUCUCAAGUAAGUGAACUGCUCCCUUGCCAAUGCUUUUGUAAAGAUAUCUGCCAGUUGCUCCUUUGUAGGACAGUGAAUCAAAUCAAUUACUCCUUGCUGUAAUGCUUCCUUUAUGAAGUGAUAUCUUCGGUUUAUAUGCUUGGUCUUCUGAUGAAAGAUGGGAUUCUUGGUGAUGGCUAUGGCAGAUGUAUUGUCACAAUUCAUUGGUGUUGCAACCGUUUGCAUUUCACCAAAAUCCUCUAGGACAAAUCUCAACCAAGUAGCCUGUGCUGUUGCUUCAGAAGCACUAAUAUACUCUGCUUCGGCUGUGGAUAAUGCAACACAUUGUUGCUUGACUGAAGACCAAGAGAAAAUCCCAUUUCCAAAAGUAAAAGCAUACCCGGAUGUGCUUUUCAUGUCAUCCUCUGAACCACUCCAGUCACUAUCACAGUAUCCCAUUAAGAGUGUUCCUUCACCUUUCUUGUAUUCCAAACCAAAAUCAAGGGUUCCUUGAACAUAUCUCAAUACUCUCUUUGCUGUUCCAUAGUGCUUGUUAGUUGGACAAUGCAUAAACCGAGCUAAGAGACAAGCAGCAUACAUUAUAUCAGGUCUAGUUGCUGUGAGAUACAACAGACUACCUACAAUCUGUCUAUACUGAGCUUCAUCUGCAUUUCCACUUCCAUCUUCUCUUCUCAGUUUGUCACUUGGAACCAAAGGAGUACUCACUGAUUUGCAAUUCUGUAGUCCGAACUUCUUCAGAAGAGAUAAGGCAUAAUUUCUCUGAUGAAUGAAGAUACACUCCUCAGUUUGGAUUACCCCCAUACCAAGGAAAUGGUGUAAGAGACCAAGAUCAGUCAUCUCAUACUUAGACAUCAUCUCAGCUUUGAAAACAUCCAUUAACUCUUGACAAUUUCCAGUAUAUAUAAUAUCAUCAACAUAGAUGGAUACUAUGAUCAAUUCUGUGUCUCCCUUGUAUUUGGUGUACAGAGUUGCCUCACUGAUACUUUUCUUAAAUCCACAAAGCAUAAGAUAUGAGUCUAUUUCACCAUACCAGGCCCUAGGUGCCUGUUUUAGACCAUACAAAGCUUUAUGUAAUCUGUAAACCUUUUCUUCCUCUCCUUGCACUACAAACCCAUCUGGCUGUUCAACAUAUACUUCCUCUUCUAAUACUCCAUUCAGAAAAGCUGAUUUCACAUCUAGUUGAAAUAACUUCCAUUUAUUCUUUGCUGCCAGUGCAAUUAGAGUUCUAACUGUGUUUAAUCUUGCAACAGGUGCAAAAGUCUCAUUAAAAUCAAUUCCAGGCUUUUGUGCAUAGCCUUUUGCAACAAGUCUAGCCUUGUUCUUUUGAACUGUUCCAUCCAAAUUCAGCUUUGUUUUAUACACCCAUUUCACUCCAAUCACAUGCUUAUUUGAGGGUCUUCUCACCAACUCCCAUGUCUGAUUUUUUUCAAUCAUAUUCAUUUCAUCCUUCAUUGCCUUUUUCCAAGCUUCAUCAUGUGCAACUUCAUCAAAGGAUUCAGGUUCAACAAUACAUAAGUGACAUCUCUCAUAGAUCUCACUCAAAUUCCUAUACCUCAGUGGAGUAUCAUCAUACUGAGCAGAGACCCGUGAACUACUUGAUUCACCAAUAGCAGUAACUGUAGAACUUCCAGCUUGAAUUUGAGACCCAUCAGAUCCUUCUUGUUCAUGAGAUUCAGACAUCUCAUCAAUUUUAUCCACCUCUGAAGACUCAAUUGCAGAUAAAGGAAUACAGACUUCCUUGACUUUGUGUUUCUCCCAAUCCCAUCUACCAUGUUCAUCAAAAAUUACAUCUCUAGACAACAAGACCUUUUGAGUUAAGGGAUUCAGUACUCUAUACCCCUUUUCACAGGUUCCAUAUCCAAUGAAAACACCCAUGACACUUGUUUCUUCUAAUUUGUGUCUUAGAUUCCCUGGAAUAAGAGAAUAGCAAACUGAACCAAACACCUUCAAAUAUUUAAACCCCUUUGGUUUUCUUCACCCCACCGAUGUGGGACAAUUUUAACACUCCCCCUCACGUGUAACCUCAUUUAGUGGUUCACACGUGGAGAUCCACAUCGGUAAUUGAAACUCAGAGGUCGGCUCACGUUGGGCCCACUUGUUUUCAAUGGAACUCAGCGGUCAUCUCUAUAUUAAGAGCUCAGACUUGUUUCCUUCCGGGUGGUGACAAGCUCAUUGGCUUGCACACACAAGCUCGUUGGCUUGCACGGGCCCGCAACCGUGGGCUCUGAUACCAUGUUGGAAUCCAGCAAUACAACUAAUAUAACUAAGUCUAACAGGAUUUGAGAGAAAGAUUGUAAGAUUUAGAAGAUGAAAUCAGAGAGAGAGAGCACACACAGAGCAUAGCCUUUCAACUUCUAUCAUUGUAUUGCAUUAUGGGCAUAACAACCCGAAGAGACAUAUAUCUGACGACAAAGAUGAGUGAGAGAGAAUCAUAACCUCAAUUCAAUCUCAACCAACCAUUACAACCUAUCUUAAGAUCAAGACACUUGUCAAAUGAUAAGCCCUAUGAGACUUAAUCAACACAUCACAAUUUUACACAAUAGCUCAGCCUAUGAGCUGAGACAUGACACACAUAACAAUCUUGUAAUGUUUACUAAUCAGUACAACAACUUACAUACUAACACUUCUUCCCACAAACUCCUCUCUCUCUCUCUCUCUCUCUCUCAGUUGUUUUCAUUUUUAUUCACUUGUUGCUCUCACUCUUUUUUUUUCUUUUCCUUGCCUCUCACAACUCCCUCGACACCUCUCUUUCUCUUUCCUUCUUUUAUGCUUUUCUUCCACCCUUUAAUAUAGCUGAAAAUUUGCAUAUGUAACAAGAGUAGAAUUGGUGAGCAACAUAAAAUGGAGAUGUAGGCUAAAGAGGCUAGCUGAGAAGGCCUGCUCAACCGUACAUAAGCUGCUCAAACUGAUGUAUAGGCCAACAUACAGAUUAGGUUGUCGAGCUUUUUGGAUAUUAUAGAAGAGAUGAUAAGGAACAAUUUUUGUGAAGGAAAUGUUUUUGUUUGAUCACAGUAAGUUGGAUUUUUAAGCUCCAAACAUGACUAUAAGGUUUUCUGCGGAUUUUUAAGGCUGUAAUAGCAUUUUGAUUAUCUGGAAUGAAUGGACAGUUAGAUCGUUCUGAGACUUUGAUAUGUUAAGGUAGAGAGAAUAAGGAACAAUUUCUAUGAAGAAAGUAUUUUGAUAUGAGUAAGAGAAAAUGUAGUUUCGAAUCUCAUAUUUGGAUAUGUUGUAUUUAACGAGUUAACGAACAACUUUCUUAAAGAAGGCUUUUUAAUUUGAACUAAAGAAAAUGGUAAUUUGAUCUGCAAAACAGAUAUGACGAAUUUCUGGUUCUUGAAAUUCUUUCUCUUGAUAAGUAGAAGAAAAUGAUGAUGAGUUUGGUGUAGAGAUUUGUUGGGUAAGCUCUUAUGCAUUUUUUGGGAUUUGUAUGUGAUUUCUUUCUCCGGAUUCUCAUUGAAAAAUAGAGGGAGAUUUGGUGGUGCUUCAUGGAGUUGCAUAAUGGUGUUUCACUAGAACUUGAUAACACACACAUUCACAUAAACACACAGUAUAGGAGUCGUUCGUCAAAGUGACUACAUCCACUGGGGUUUGCUUUCAUUUGUAUUUCACUAGAUAUGAGAGACUUACAAAUACAAUGAAAGAUGACUUAAAGCAUUUACAGAAGGUAAAAGAAAUGGAUGAUGAAAGAGGAAUGGUCUGAGAAAGAGAACAUUCCUUUUGCUAGUGUGUUCUUGUUGGUGUGGUGUUCUCCCUUUUUUUCCUCGUGUCCUUCUAGUUCUUGCUCCUUCCUUUAUAGGGAUCAUAUGAGUUCUUCCUUCUCACAACAUGUGCAAUCUAACUUGAGGAUAAAAGCUCCCUAGUGUCCCAAUAGAAAGACACCAAGUAUUGUGCAAAUUAUUAGCCAUAAUAUGUGUUCGAAUAGCAAGACAACAUGUGUUAAACUAAUCAUUAAUAAUGAUAUGUGUUCCAAUAACAAAGCAACAUGUGUUGAGCUAAUCCUGAACAAAAAAUAUCAUGUAAGAUGGAUGCAUGUCUGGAUGCAUGUCUAAGGCCACGUUAAAGUUUAUCUUAUGGUAAGCUGGUUGGAACAAAACAUAUGGUAACUCUACAAAUUGGUAGGAUAUCCGGAUGGUGAAUUAAAAGCUCCAAAACCCAUGGUUAUAAUCACACCUCAAACUAAAACCAAAAGAGUAGCACACUAUUUAGUUGCUAGUGGCACGCAAAUGAGAAAUACAAAGCCUAACAAAUCAAUCUACAAAUAAAGUGAAACAUAUAUGUAUUUGUUAACUAAUGAAAAAAAGAACUUGGUAUAUCAAACUUUAGCAUAAUACACAAAUUAAAAGUACUUCGACACUUAUAUAUAUACCCACUUUUUAAAUUACGGAGUAUUACACUUGCAAAUGCCUCUUGUAUAAAGUUGUUUUAGUCCUUUCACUAUCAACCUUAACAUACACGACAUUGUUCACCUUUUAACUCCAAGCAUGAACUUUCCCCUCCUAAAAACUUAGGCUCCAAAUCAUUUCAAUUGUUGCCUAAUUUUUUUGGGAGGAAAGCCCAUAUUUGAAUCCAAAAGUAGAAAAUGUUAUGGUUGCUAGACCUGAAUAGUUAACACUCUAUAACAAAUAUACUUAUAAUUUUGAGUUUGUUUUUGUAUUGCAUGUGGUUUAAUAUUCUAGUGAAUAGAUUAUUGAGUUUCCACACAGAUGUCCUGGUUCGGAAUUCUCCCCUCAUAAAUUAUUAAAAAAAUAGGUAACAAAUUGAAAUUUAAAUAAAAGUUAAGGUGACAAAUAAAAAAUUUGCCUUUUCUUCCCUAGUCUGCAACUGGACCAUCAACAUCAAGGCUCAAAUCAUAGACCCAAAAAUGCCUUAUUAAAUUAUAUGAAUUCCUGAACAUAUUCUUAAAUUUUAGUGGUGGGAUCUCCAUCCAAUGGUGGUGGUUCAUGAACAUAUCUAUAAACAUUUUGUAUGAAUAAGUAGAAUAUACAUCCAUUUGCUAAGAUAUAUUCAAAUCUGGCAAGCCAGUCCCCUGCCCACUACCAAAAGCCAAAGCUAAAAUACAAUUACAAUUAAUUAUUAAAAUGUGUAUUAUAUAAAAGGAAAGGGUGCACAAAGGGAUAAAAGGAGCAUGUAGACCUGAUAUUUAUCACCUUCCUUCUCUUCUAAUGCCAGCGAGCAGUGAUUGAGUGACGUUUACAGGAGAAGGCGCAGGGUCAAUCCAGGGAGUGUCAGCACCACUUGCAUUGCUGCCUCCCGGCUGAUAGUUGAGGCGAACAUUACUAUCCUUGGAUGCAGUUGAUGAGGUAUCAUCCUCCACCAAAAAUCUACCUGUUGAAAAUGUUGUUACAUCUUUAAAAUUAUAAUCUGUCAAAUAGCUUGGUUUCGACAUGACAGUGCCUGUGUCAAUGUCUCCAGAGAGCAUUGCAACCACGCGUGACAUAGAUGGCCUUGCCAUCGGUGAUCCCUGCGUGCACAGGAGAGCUGCUCUUAUCAAUCUAGUUGCUUCGGUUUCAUCAAACUCUGUCAAUCUCGGAUCCACCAACCCCAGAGUUUGGUCAUUUUCAUGUAGAGUCCAUACCUGAAAAACAUUAUGCCACGAUCAAAGGAAAGUAUAAAUAAGUUUUUCACAACAAUGCCUAAAUGAAGCUAGGCGAAUGCAAUUCCUACCCAUUCAAGAAGAUAAAUCUUUUCUGGAUCCAAGUUAUUGUAAGAGUUUGGUCUCCCACUGAGGAUCUCCAAAACAACGACUCCAAAACCAAACACAUCAGCCUUCUCUGUCAAAUGUCCAAACAAUGCAUACUCUGGUGCCAAAUAGCCUCUGCAAUGCAAGAUAAUCAAAUGGUUGCACAAUGUUGCUUGAGAUCAUUAGAGGCAUUAUUAACAUGUGUGUUAAAAUUUCAUGCAAGCAUAAAUGUGUGUGGCCAUAAUCUAUGUAUCCUCGGGAAAAACAAUAAAGGAUGGCUUACAUUGUCCCUGCAACCCGGGUGCUGAUGUGGGUUUUUUUGUCAUCAUAAAGCUUUGCCAGUCCAAAAUCUGAUAUUUUUGGGGAGAGUUCUGCAUCGAGCAAAAUAUUACUCGCUUUGACAUCUCGAUGUACAAUCCUUGGCCUUGACUCCUCAUGAAGGUAAGCAAGUCCUCUUGCUGUUCCUAACAAUAUAUUGAAUCGAGUAGGCCAGUCAAGGUGCAAGUUACUUGUUCCUGAAAUAUUAGUGAACACGUCCAAUCAAAAACAUUUCUUAACAAUUUUAGAGUGCUUGAAACUACAGACAAUGUUGUUUCUAUGCAACCUAAAAGUAGAUAGGUUUGUACCAAAAAGUGCCUGAUCAAGGCUCUUGUUUUCAAGAUACUCAUAAACCAAAAUGCGCUGGCUGCCUUCGAUGCAGCAUCCAUACAAUUUCACUAGAUUCCUAUGUUGCACAGCAGAUAUGGUAGCAAUUUCAGAUACAAAUUGACUCUGCCCUUGGUGAGAUGCUACUGAAAGUUGCUUCACAGCCACUACUCUCCCAUCAGAAAGUGUACCCUACAAUGUACACAGAAACACAAUUUAGUGACAUGAAAGGAAAGAAAAGAGAAGCUUUAUUUUCUUCUCUUGCUCGCUCUCUCUCCCUUUCUAUUGUCAUUACUUCAAGUACAUGAUACUGAUGUAAUAUGGAUUUCACCUUAUAAACAGGGCCAUAUCCUCCCUCUCCUAACUUAUUUGAAGGAUUAAAAUCUUCAGUUGCAACUCUCAACUCAGCAUAACUGAAAGUAUUUGGUCGAGGGCCUAAUCCAAGAAUAUCUACACAUUCACGAAACAGUGUGACAUAAGUUCUACUUUCGUGAAAGUAUUCGUACUUGUGUGUGUUAAUGUCAGAGCAGAGGAACCUGAAUUGGAUACCACUAAUAAUAUGGUCGUUUACCUUCGUUGUCCUCUUUUUCUGAUGUUUUCCUCCUCAUAUAUAGAAUCGCCAAUAUUAGUAACAAGCUCACAACUCCAACAGGAACUGCAAUACCAACUAUCAACCCAGUCCUGCUCUUCUUUCCUGGAGUAGUUGGUGGAAGCCCAGAAACUGUUGGUGUAAAAUCUGAGAGAUAAAACAGACGCAUUCUUCAGUGUCAAUUAACAACAAAAAAAUACAUUUAAACCAUUCAUAGGAAAUCUCUAAUAGUUAACACAAUUAUACCUGAAGCAGCAUGGACGGCUGCUAUUAGUGGGCCGUAAUCACCUGGUAAAGGUAUGCAACAAGUCCCUUUACCAGCCCAGAAUAGAUGAAUUUCAAGAUAAUUCUCUGACACGCUAACAUUGAAUAUUUUCUUAAUUCCUACGUUAACCCCAUGUGCCUCCUUGGAUAUGUCAAAGUCCUCUUCCCUGCGGGUACCCUAGCAACCAAAUGAAGAGCUAGGUAAUACUUCUAGUCUCCUUUAAAUCAUGAGAGACUUUGGAUGCGGUCCCUAACUACCAAUGUCCUCUGACUAAAACCUUGGUAGUUUUCAGUUUUUUAUUAAAGUCUUUGACAUUAAUGUAAUAAUAUAUUUUUACGUAGGUUAUUAUAUUUUAAAUUAAAAAUUGAUAUUUGUAGUUGUUUAUAUUAAUGAGAUUUUAAAUGAAAACCAUAAUUUAUGGGAUUAAAAACAUUAAAGGAUAAAGUAUACUCUCUAAUAUAUUGUGUGUGUGUGUACACAUACAUACAUGCAUGGGUUCAUCAAAACUAAACAAAAAAUUAUUGUACCAAAACAUGGGUACAUUUUUCAAAAAUAAAAUAAAAUGAUAUUAGGCUUAUUAACAUAUUAAAUUUCUUGCAUUAAACUACACAUAGAUACAUUUUCAAAUCAACAAAAUAGAAUGUGCCCUUUAUAAGUUUAAAAAGUGGAUUAGAAGAAAAUUUAAUGGAUUUUAUAUGAAAAGGGGUACAUUUUUUAUAUUAAAAAAUGGUACAUUUAUAUAUAACAAAUUGAUAUAAUUAAGAAUAAGUACAUUUAAGAUUAGAAAAAAUUGAAAAAUAUAUGAAUGGGUACAUUUAAGAUUAAAAAAUUAAUGGGUACAAACUUAUUCUAAUUUUAAUUUUUAAUUUUUAUUUUGGAAAGGUUUUGAAUUGAAAAUUAAUUAGGAGUUUAAUAAGGGUGUGAGUAUUAAAACCCUAAAUCAAUUAUUAAUUUUUAUUUGGAAAAGUUAUGUAACUGACAUGCAAAUUCAUCAAUAAAUUAAUGCUAGGAACUUUAAUUAAAAUCUGAAAACUAAUAAGGUCUCAAUCAAUAAACAUUACUAACUAGGGACCAAAUACUAAUUUUUCCCUAAAUCAUUGUCUUUAGUUAAGCUAGCUUAAAAUAUCGAAAACCUGCCCAACGAGUCUUACUUCAAAUAAGUUAGAUUUUUUUUUUUCCAUAAGCAGCCUUACCUGAAUAUAGAUAUCAAAUACACGCCGUCCUAGACUUUCCCAAGUUUGCUGAAUGCGCUUCUCAAAAUCCGUCUCUGCAAAGUGCAAUGUUACAGUGUAAGGUCCAUUCUCAAGACCCAGGCCAUAGUAUCUCAGUGAUCCUGGGGACAAUCUUGAAGUCUGGAAGAGCUCCGGGGUCACAUCUGUUCCGGUGACUUGUUCGGGGGUAUUUUCCAGAAACGAUCGGUUCACUCCUUCAGAAAACAUACCGACAUUGCUGACAGCCCAUUUCUCUAUACUGGUUACAUUGAAUGUUGCUGGACCAAGAGCUGAGUCUUCAGCAUCAUACAAUAUGCCAUCACGUCCCUUCAUUUCCGGUCCACCACAGUUGAUUGAGAAGUUUGCAUCUGUAAGUUUCAUGUAAUACCAGAAUCUACCCAUGAUUAGCAAUGAAACUUCAAAUUGAAGACUCAUAGUAAUGUUUUUCAGUCACAUGUUUCCGACCAGUUAUGCUUAUUACUGAACUUAUGAGAACAUGCUUGCAAUCUAUAUCCAUAU